RNAcentral lists this long non-coding RNA (65545 nucleotides) under Cicer arietinum (chickpea). Its description in RNAcentral is "long non-coding RNA (CARI_LNC003013)". The record is from RNAcentral. Lineage: Eukaryota; Viridiplantae; Streptophyta; Magnoliopsida; Fabales; Fabaceae.
UAAUAAUCAUGUAAGUUGUUGAUGAUAAUUCUAGCGCAAUGAUAUUUUGAUACAAAAACUAAAACUUGUAUAAAGAGACCAUAUAAAGUACAUUUAAUAUGAGUGUUGAUUUGAUUGAAAGAAAGAGAAAAAAAGUAAUAAAAAAUAGAAAAUGUAUAAUAAUACACUAUUAGUGUCCAAAUUUGUGUCCAAAUAAUCGUAUAAUAAUACACUUUAUCAUUUUCAUUUUAAUCCUUGUAGUAUUUGUUAAUAUUGAAAUUAGUCUCUCUAUAUAUCAUAUUCUAAGGAAUAAUGAAUAAGUUUGCAUUUUACGGGACUGAUUCCAACUUGCACAAAUGUUUAUAGGAAAUAAACAAUAAGGAUUAGAAACAACUUUUUCAAUAUUACAGGGACUAAAACUAAAACGAAAGAAAAUUAUAGAAACUAUAACAAAAAAAUAUGCAUAUUAUAUGGAAUAGAGAGAUAUUAAAGCUAAACACAAGGGGAAAAACAAAAAGAACAUUCCCAACAAAUUUGCCCAACUUCUUACCAUGUAGAAUUCCUGCAUACUGAGGAGCAAUGUCUUGAUCAUGUAAAAUGUAAAAAGUGUUGUGAGGUUAAGGCCUCAUUAUUAUAUUUGUAAGUUCAAUGAAAUGUCUUAAGUAUAUAAUAUAAUGGUUAAAGUUUUAGAGUAUAUGCAGACUUUUGUGUGGUGUAGACUUAUUUGUAUGUUGAGCAUAAAUCCAGCUUGGCUGAAAGAGCUCAAACUCAAAGCUGCAGUCAAGAGUGUAGCAGCAAUUGUUGGUGUAUUUGCAUAAUUCAUAUUCUAAGGACUAUAAUGAAUAAGUUCGCAUUUUACACGACUUAUUCCAACAUGCACAAAUGUUUAUAGGAAAUAAACAAUAAGGAUUCAAAACAACUUUUUCAAUAUUAAAGGGACUAAAACUGAAAUGAAAGAAAGUUAUAGAAACUAAAACAAAAAAAUAUGCAUAUUAUAUGGAAUAGAGAGAGAUAUUAAAGCCAAACACAAGGGAAAAAAAACUGUAAAAUGUAAAAAGUGUUGUGAGGUUAAGGCCUCAUUAUUAUAUUUGUAAGUUCAAUGAAAUGUCUUAAGUAUAUAAUAUAAUGGUUAAAGUUUUAGAGUAUAUGCAGAUUUUUGUGUGUUGUAGACUUACUUGUAUGUUGAGCAUAAAUCCAGCUUGGCUGAAAGAGCUCAAACUCAAAGCUGCAGUCAAGAGUGUAGCAGCAAUUUGUUGGUGUAUUUGCAUAAUUCAAGCAUAGCAAGGUCACAGCUGGCCCAAUAAAUCCAAUUGUCUGUAAUUGUACAUAUAUACAUUACUAAAAUCAACAUAGUAAACAUGUUGUUACAUGAUAUAAGCUCUGACGUCAAAAAUGUAACGCUUCCAGUUACAAGGCUGACUAUAAUAUUAUAGUCGUGUAUCUGGAGGCGUUAUAUAUUUUAGUCUCCACUAGUUAAUAUGAAUUUCAUAUGAUUUUUUAGGUCUAUGAUUGCUUCAAAAUGAAAACAUACAAAUUUUUACAAUCUUUAAAUGUUACUUUUUUUUUUUUGUGUGUUGGUUGUUCAACACUUCAAUGUUAACUCAUGGAGAUACAAGUACAAUCUUAUGCAUGAUGAGGCUGAAAGAGUUACCUGCAUUAAUUUACGGACAAAUGUUGUAGGGUACCCUGCAUUGAUUAAGAAAUCUGAUGCAGUACCAGCUAGAUAACCUGAAAAUGCCAUUGUUUCCCAUGGAACUGCACUAAACCAUGCUGCCUGCUUCAAAUUCACAUUAUAUACUUACAGAUAAACAAUAGUCCAAUGUUGAAUUUUCCAAGCUUCAAUAAUAUAUAAUAUAUACACCUUUACUUGUGUAUUGUACAUAUAAGCUAGCUCAUUCUAGUAUCCAUAUUUUUUAAGCAAUAUAUGAAAUAACAACAUAACGUUAUUUAUUAUAGGUGUGAAGUAUCAACUACUUUCGUUAUUUAUUAUAGGUGUGAAGUAUCAACUACUUUCGCUGUUUACUAAUCUUUAUUAGAAAACCUGGCCGCCACAUUUAGUGGAGUCUCUCAUCCAAACUACACCUUUUCCAUCUACUUAACUCAAACCUAAAACUUUGAUUCAGGGAUCUAAGUCGAGUUCGACUCAGACCAACGUAACGUAGGUAAGUUGUUUAUUAUUAUAAGUAACAAGAACAAACGAAGAAAGUAAUUACGCUUUUGAAAUAAACCGGCAUCCAAGAGAGGAGAACAAAGUAACCCUGAAAAUUAACCAAGGUUUCAUAAUCAGUAUACUUAAAGUUUGAUUUAUGAUAACAAGUUCUUCUCUUUCAAAAAGGUGUAUUUUGAAUAAGUGGUGUCAUAAAAUAGUUGGCACUUAACAACCUUGAAAAAAAUAAACAGACUUCCAUUGAACCGUGUCAAUCCAAGAUAAAUGAUGUUUCCUUACAAUGCAUCAGACACACAUCCUCAUUAUUUUCUAUCCCUCAAAACUUACACAAUACACUUAUAGACCCCAAUUACAACAAUUCAUAAAUAACAAAAAAUAAAAAUCAAUACAAGUAAGGAAUAACAGCUGUCCUUUUCUUAGGAUAAUCCUCUCCAAAUUUCUCCAAAUACCACUUAUGAUUAGCACGUGCCCUAGGCCCCAAAUUAGCAAAAGUGUAAACAAAAAAGCCCAACCCAGCCCAAGACCAAGUCAUCAAAGCCCAACCAAACCACUCCAAAAUUUCCCCAAAGUAAUUAGGACAACUCACAACUUCAAACAACCCUCCUUUAGGCACAACAUACCCUUUCCCUUUCGCUUUCAGCCUCAACAAUUCCUUAUCAGACCAAACAUUAAUCCCCAUCCCACAAAAAAACACCAAAACCCCACAAAAAAACACCAACCAAAAACACAACCCAUCACCAUCAUAAUUCUUGUAGUGAGAGACCCAUCUAGCUUGAACAUAAGAAUUCAACAAAUUGAACAAAAAAGCAAUUAGGGCUAUACUAAAAGGGAACCCAGAAGUGUUUUUCGUUGUUGUGAAGAACAAUCUCAGUGGAUAAACACAAGUGCGGUUGAAGUAAUGAACGAGAAAAGGAGUAAUCAAGAGAAUUGAUUUUGGAUUGGAAGAGUUGUUACCAAAUGGAAAAAGAUAAAGGGUGAACCAAAGUGUGGGACUCUCCAUUAGGAACCAAGCGAGGUAUGGUGGGAGAUUUGGACCCCAACCUGGUCUAUGGUGUUUGCCAUAAGGGGCUUGGAGGAAUGUGAGGGAGAUGAAGGUUGGUGGAGCUAUGAGGUAGAGAGUGAUGAGAGCGUAGUUGAACAGAGAUUCGUCUUCUAAGAUCAUUUUUUUGACGGAAUGCUGUUGUAAGUGUUUGAUAAAAUGCGUCCGAGAGUGUGAUGACAAUGAUUUAGAAACAAGAUCUCUAUUUAAUGAGAGGAAUGAAUAAGACAAAAUAAGGAAUACUUAUGACUUGCGUCAAAAAAAGAAGGCACGAGGAUCAAGUUGAUAAUAAAUAAAUCUUGUUAAUAUUAUAUAAUUAUUUUUAUUUUUAAUAAUAUUUUUAAUUAUUUAUUAUAUUAUUUUCUUUAUGUGAUAAACUCGUGAGGGUAUUAUUGACCACCAAUAAUCAAUGAUACAUUGAAUUCUUUGAAAAUGAUAAAUAGAAAUAAAGUUAUUCUCCAAAUGUGAGAUUUUUUUUAUAUAUUCUGUUUUUUUUUUAUAUCAAACUAUUCACUCCCAAUUUAAUUUACUUAAUUGUUCUAUUUUGCCAAUUUAGUAGAAAGUCGUUGAUCAAGAGUGCGAUCAAUUCAAGAGAAAAAUAUUGUUUACCUAGUCAGAGGUCGCUGGCCUAGAGGGACCUCGCACUAAAUUUUGAUUUUUGUUGUGUGUGCUCGUUUUAACUAUUAUUAUAUGAAUUUAAUACAUUAAAAAUAACUAAAUUAAUAAAUAACAAUAAUAAUAAAUAAUACAUUAAUGAAUAAUAAUAAUAAUUUAUUAUUAUUAUUAAAAAUGAUUAAAAUAAAUAAUAAAUAAUACAUUAAUAAAUAAUAAUAAUAAUAAUAAUAAUAAGUAAUAGUUAUUAUUAUUAUAAUUAAAAAUUAUUAUAAUUAAAAUUAAAAAUAGUAAAUUAUAUUAUAAAUUUCAAAGAAAAUACAUUAAAAAUACAAUUGGAUAAUUGUUUAUUUAAUAAAUUAAAACUAAUUAUAAUAUUUUAAAAAACAAAAUACUAAUAAAUAAUAAUAAUAAUAAUUUGCUACUUACAAAAUUAUAUAAUUUGUGAUUAAUCAAUUUGCUAAAAUUAAUUUGAUACUUACCAAAUUUGCUACUUAUCAAAUUGAACAAUUUGCGAUUAAUCAACUUGUUACCAAAUUGUAUAAUUGAAUAGUUUUUUUUUUAUUAAUUUUCUCAUUUAAUGGUAAAAUUAAUGAUUAAUCACAAAUUGUUAGUUUUCUCAUCAAAUAUGAUUUCGUAAAAUGAUUAAUUUUCUCAUUAAUUUAUAAAUUGAUUUAAUAUAAAAAAAAAUUGAUUUGUGUGAUUGAUAAAUUGAAUAUGCAUUACAUUGUUUGUUUUGCCACAUUUAUUCAGCCGCAUUAAUUUUGAUAUAUAUAUUUUGCCACAUUACCAAUCACAUGAAUCAAUUUUUUUGAUAUAUUGAGAUAAAAUUAGGUAAUAUAUUGUAUACUAAUGUAUUAUUAAUUUAUCUCAAAAGAUAAAAUCAAAUUAAAUAUAUUCAUCUUCCAAAUGUAUUUUAAAAAUAUCUAUAUAUAAAAUAAUUAGAUUAGGUUCAUCUUUUACUUUUAUUAUUUUUUUUAAUCACACGAAUCAAUUUUCUUGAUAUUAAAUCAAUUUGUAAAUUAAUAAGAAAAUUAAUUUUAACAAUUUGUGUUAAUCAUUAAUUUAACCAUUAAAUGAGAAAAUUAAUCUACUGUAUAAUUUGGUAAGUAACAAAUUGAUUAAUCGUAAAUUAUCCAAUUUGAUAAGUAGCAAAUUUGGUAAGUAUCAAAUUAAUUUUAACAAACUGAUUACUCACAAAUUGAUUAAUCUCAAAUUGUACAAUUCAGUAAGUAGCAAAUUUGGUAAGUAGCAAAUUAUUAUUAUUAUUAUUAUUAUUAUUAUUAUUAUUAUUAUUAUUAUUAUUAUUAUUAUUAUUAUUAUUUAUUAGUAUUUUGUUUUUUAAAUAUUAUAAUUAGUUUUAAUUUAUUAAAUAAAUAAUUGUCCAAUUGUAUUUUUAAUGUAUUUUAUUUAAAAUUUAUAAUAUAUUUUACUAUUUUUAAUUUUAAUUAUUUUUAAUUUUAAUUAUUUUUAAUUAUAAUCACUUUUAAUCAUAAUAGUAAUAGUUAUUAUUAUUAUUUAUUAUUAUUAUUAUCAUUAUUUAUUUUAAUCAUUUUAAUAAUAAUAAUAAUAAUAAUUAAUUAUUAUUAUUUAUUAAUGUACUAUUUAUUAUUAUUAUUAUUAUUAUUAUUUAUUAAUGUAUUAUUUAUUAUUAUUAUUUAUUAUUAUUAUUUAUUAUUAUUAUUUAUUAAUUUUAUUAUUUUUAAUGUAUUAAAUUUAUAUAAUAAUGGUUAAAACGAAUAAAAAAAAUCAAAACCUUAGUGCGAGGUCGCCCCCUAGGCCAACGACAUCCAACUAGGUAAAAAAUAUUUUUUCCUUCAACUUAUCGCACGUUGAACCAACGACUUCCUGCUAGACCCAAAAAAUAGGGCAAUCAUGUAAAUUAAAUUGAGAGUGAGGUAUUUUAGUGUAAAAAAAAAAACAAGAUAUAUAAGAAAAAAAAUCCCCAAAUGUGACUAUUAAAUAUUAUUGUUUAAUAGGUAAUGCACUGAUAUGGUCGGUUAUCAACAUGUAUUAUCAGAAUAUUGGUACAUAGUCUCAAUUUUUUAUUUAUAAUAUACUCUAACUUUUAAAAAAUUGUAUUAGUAUAUUAAUUUUCUAUUUUGAACAUUCUAAAAUUCAUAUUUGCAUCUUAUGCCUAAAAUAAAUCCAAUUUGCCACUGUGGGUAUGUGAUAGGGGCUACAGCCAACGAGAAGCCACCAUUCACUACCAAAUAUUAGAAUUUUAAUGGUAAAAUUUUGUAAUUUUAAGGACCCAAUUUUUAGAUUCAAAUCGGACCUAAUAAAAAUAUUGAGACGUCUCUUUGCAUUGACAAUGCAAAGUUAUUUUAUAAUACUGUUUAAUUAUAAUAUUUCAAUAUACUAUAUUAUGUUAAACAAUUUUUAAAUUAAAAACAGUUAUUAAAUAUUUGAUCGACAAGACGAGUUAUUAUUGAUUGUAAAAUAAGUUUACACUCACAAUGCAUCUCUAUUAAAUUUUAAAAAAUAACACAUGAAGUACACAUUAAGAUCUAAAAUAAAUAGAGACAUUACAUCUUCAUCAAAUGAGAACCUCAACUUUUUAGUAUCAAAGUGAUUUUAUGUGUACACAUUGUUUACUUAUAAUUUUUUCAAUAAUAAUAUUUAAUUAGUAAUAUUAAACUUUAUUAUAUCAUCUAUCAAUAAUUUUGUAACUUUAUUAUAGCAUUAUAUUUUUAAUAUUGAAAUCAGGAAGAAUAGAGAGGGUGUACUUAAUAAAGCAUAUCUCCCUUCAUAGGUACUCAUUUAAUAAAGCAAAUCUCUCUUAUGGGAUUAAGACAUCCCUAUUAGGUGUGGUCUCACAAUCUCAUACACACAAGUAUUCUAAGUGGCAUCCAUUCAAAGUCUCAAUCAAUUUAGGUCAAUAUACCAAAGUAUUGAGAUUGAUCACUAUAAUAUUUUAUACGUUGUAUGUAGAUUCAUGACAUGAGGAACUAAAGGUCAUGAAUCUGGAAAACCUCCAGAGAACAACUGAUAAUUGAUGAGUUAAAAUAUGUCCAAUUUCUUAAAGAAAAAGUUCAAGCAUGGCAAAAGAAAAAGGGUAGUUUAUGUUAAAAAGGAAUAUUUAAUCCAAAGUAUAUUUAUGUUAAAAAGGAAUAUUUAAUUGUGCUGCAUUACUUGGUAUUAUGCACUAUUUUAUUCAAUCUAAAAUUUUAUUAUUGAUGAAGUAUAUAUGAGAAAUCACGUAGAUGUAGAUGUGAGUUUUACGAUGAGAUAAUAUUUGGUAAAUAGUAUUGAUAAUAAAAAUAAAGAAAACAAUUUAAAGAUAAUUUUUAAUAUAGAAAAAAUGAAUAUAGACAAAUAAAAACUCAUUAUUUUUAUACCAGAAAUUAUUAUUUUUUCUUUUCAUUUUUCAUUGUAAUUAAUAGUCUUUUACUUUUUGUCUCUUAUUUUGUUUAGUUUUUUUUGUUCACGGCACAUGACACUUAUACAUUGAAUGUCGACGAGACACUUAUAACAUGAUAAUUCAAUGCCACAUGGCAUCAAAAUCGUAUGUGGCAUGCCAUGUCAGAGCUUAAAAUGAUUUGUUAAUGGAGUACUCAAAAUCUUAGCAUUACUUAUAUUCAAUAUGUCUAACACAUUUUCAACAUAGCUUUUCUAAGAGUCAUAAUUUUCUAAAACUCCUAUCGUUAUGAAUAUUUAUCCCAAAAAUCUUCUUAGCAUCACCCUGAUCAUUCACGUCAAAUUCAUUUUUCAAUAUGAAUUUUGGUGCACUUACGCCAUGUAAAGGAUUAUCAACAAUUAAUGUAUCAACUACAUACAAGAAAAGGAAAAUAAUAUUGGCAUGUCACAUCAUCUAGGCUAGAAGAAAAUAUGACAUAAAGCACUAAAAGAAUGAAAAUCUUGAAUUACAUGGACAAUAUCACAUCAUCUAGUGAUAAAUACUCAUACUAUAUAAGUUUAAGAAAUAUUGAUUAUAAAACCACAUCAUAUUUAUAUCACUUAAUUGUAUUGUCUUAAAUUAGUAAAUUUCAUCAAUCAAAAUAUUUAAUGAAAUCUAGUGAAAAAUAUUUAUGAAACAUAUUCGUCUAAUAAAAUUUCAUAUAAAUGAAAAACUAAUUGAUACUUCCACCCCACUUUACAUCAAUGCAUAAUAACUUAUCUUAAAAAAUAAACAAGCAAAAUCCCACAAAAUAGCUUGACAUUAUCUAAUGAUGAUUGUACCAAAUAAUUAUAUAUCUUUAAAAAAUAUAGUGCAGAAUAAAUUAAUUAGUUUACAUAUUACUAUUAGCGACGUUUUUCCCUUUUCCGACAAAUAUAUACUAGUGAAGAUGCAUGAACUAAUUAAUCUUGUAAAAUAAAAUUAAAUGCAUGAACUGAUCUUGUAAAAUAAAAUUAAAUGCAUGAGCUAAUUAUGAUUUUACACGUAAUGUUAAUGAAAGUCUUGUGAUCGUGACCCUAUAUAUAUGUUUUUUUUUUUUCUUUCUAAAAACGCAAAUUUCGAAAUUGCUUUUCGUUUUGUUCAAGCUCUGCUUCGUGUCUCUCUCUCAAAGCAGCAACGGAACAAACUUUCUCUCUCUAAUCCAACGAACAACCAGUUACUUGUUUCUCUCUCUAGGGUUUGGAGCUUCCACUCCAACACUCAGUGGAGAGAGAGAAGCUUUGGACGCUACAAUUCUAGUAGGGCUUUUUGCUGUUUCUUCAUGCUAAUUCCAAACAAAUUCACUCUCAUUGUGAUCAAGCUACUUUCGGUUUUCACAAGAAAGGAUUUCUAAUUCGCUGUUGUUUGCGUGGUUUGAGGUAGGUUUUUGUGCUUUUUUAUGCUCUUGACAUGGUUCAAUUUUGCUGUUUCUGGAACUUAGGAUGUGAAUGUUGACUUGAAUUUUGAUAAUUUUGAGCUGAAAGUGAGUUGGUUCUAGUAGUUGUGAAGAUAUAAGAGGGAAAAAGAUGAGAAACGUGAAAUUUUGUUGGGGUAGGGGUAAAUUGGGUGUUAGGAAGGGUUUUAAAUAGUGGUCGGCUGCGUUUUGAUUCUUGAUAUCGCAGAGAAUUGUGGUCAAAUGCAGCCUCAAUCGCAGUUGUGUUGCUUCUUUGGCAACACCAAUAACUGUUCUGUAGCGGCCUAGAUUGCGGUUAUAGGUCUUUAUGUAAAACCCCGUAGGUUUAUUGGAGUUAGGAGCAUUUAAUAAUUGCUCUAUUGUAAUGUUUGAAAUUUGAACGAUAAGUGAGUAGAUUCCUUUUUAAUCAAAUAUUGCUGUGGCAUACUGGCUUAUUAAUAUGUUUUCUAUAUGAAUGGUGCAGGUAGAAGUAUUAUAGGUACUAAUAUAUGUAGGUAGUUGUGGGUUAUUUGCGGUGUACUGUGGGCGAAUGUUACUUCUUGGUGCUUAAUGACGUUUUCUAUGGACUUGAAUGCCUCUCCUGUGCCGGAAGAUGAUGAAGAUGCUUUUGAAGGCCAGGUAGAAGAGUAUAAUGCACCAAAAGAGGAGUAUAGUGCGCCAAAAGAGGAGUAUAAUGCGCCAAAGGAGGAGUAUAACGCGCCAGAAGAGCAUAUAGAAAGUGCAGUUGACAUAGCACGCCGGGUACCCUUUCCUCUCUAUUCUUAUAUUAUUUUUUCUUUUGUUUGAUAAUGUCAUAGUUGGUGGUCUAAGUUGGAUUUGAUUCAUGUUGCCUUGGAAUACUGUGAUGGUAGUUUCUUAUUUAUCGGUAUGGUUCAUACAUAGUUAUUUUUCUUCUAGGAUUUUCAUGAGGUUUAGUUGGGAAUCCACUUUCAUUUUGAUGGGUUUUUUUGUGGUUAGCUUGACUGUAUUUUGUUGUAUAAGGAAUUAUAUAUUUUUCUCCAAAGCUCUAAACAAGUUUUAAUAUUGGUAAAACUGCAUAAAAUUUCUAAAUUUGGAUGCAACCAUUCUGCGGCACAGGAAAAAAAUCAAUUUAUGUGAUAUAUAAUUUUUAAAAGAGCUGCUGGAAACUUGUGAGAAAUUAAAUCAUCUGCAUAAUAGGGAACUAUGCUGAUUCUACAGCAGCAUUAGUAAAUGUCUCUAAACCUUUCUUUCCCAAGAAGUUAGUAUAUUCAUUCCAAUCCAUGCACUUGUACAUGUUCUGCAAUCCAUUUUGAUGCUGGCAUGAGACUUGAGAGCACAUCUUUGAUAGAAGUUGAAAAUGUUUUUCACUUUAUUUGAAUUAGUAGAUAGUUGAAAUUGCUUUAAAUAUUUAUAACUGUCUUGCUUGUUUUAUAAAAGAUUAUUUUAGAGAAAUAUAAAUCGAAGUCAGUCAAACUAUACAUUAUAUCUAAGUCAAGAAAUUUAUGAGUUGAGACUUUGGAAAAUGCUUAAAUACUACUUUUAAAUUCAAAUGGUCUAGGAAUUUGUAGAAGUUCACCAGUUUUGAAUAUCGGGAGUAUUUUGUUGCUGUCUCUUCCCCACUCCCUCUUUGUGUCUUCCCCUUUAUUUCCACUUCCAUAUACAGCGAAGUUCAUUUAUAGAGAACAUGGAGAUAUAGAAAAAAAGUUCAAUCCUUAAAUUGAAUCUUUGCUAUGUUAAUUCUCCAUUAGCAAUCAAAUGUAUUGUACUUUUAAAAGUCUCUUCAUUAACUCAAUUGCUAAACUCCUGCUUUGUUUUAGGAACGUGAAGAAAGAAAGAGACGGUUGAAAAGAGAACGUUCAGAUGACAGGCCCAUGCAAGUAUCACAGCCACCUGGAUGUGAUCAUUUUUUCCACAAUAAGAUCCUUAAAUCAUAUGAUAGAAGUAAGCUUCCUCCGGGUAAGAAUCGCUGCCUUACUGGUGGUAAUUGUAUCAUUCAUAUUUUGUUAUUUUCAAAUUUAUUAUUUUCAAAUAAUACUGUUCUUUAUAUAAGUUGUAAAUGAGUUUGCUCCUUAUACAGUUCCAUUUAUAUACUUAUGUUGGACGUUUCUUUGGGAUUUUAUUAAAUGUUCGUUAAUGCUACUUGCUUAAUUUAUUUUACAAUUUGUUUGGGUGAAUAAAUUUGGCUUGUUAUUUUGUAAAAGUUAUAACCAGUUUGAGUUCUUUUGGGGCUAUGAGUGGACAUUGAGUGAGUAAUCCAAUCAAAUACAUAAAAUGAUGAUGGAUAGCUAUGUUAUAUUCUCCUUAAGACAAUUGAUAUAUUUAUGAUUUAUUUUAAUGUGACAGAUUAUGAUUGUUGUCAAUGCUAGUAAAAAAUAAUUUUUCAUUAUAUUAUUUACAUGCAGGUUGGUUGGAUUGCCCUUCGUCUGGCCAAGAAAUUUUUGGCAUGAUACCUUCCAAGGUUCCACUGGGUGAAUCCUUCAAUGACUACAUUUUUCCUGGUAAAAGAUACUCAUUUAAACAAGUGAUACAUCAACAGAGAGUUUUAGGGAGAAAAGUAAGUAGAGUUUGUUUUCUUUUCUUUUCCAUAUAAGUUUUAGCACAAGAGUGACCAAAAUGAAAGGAAUUAUAGAUUCUUGAAUAAGAAUGAAAGAAGAAAAAGAAUGCCACAAACUAGUUUUUUAAAGAAUUGCAUGUUGCUACUUGUCAUAAGUACCACAAUUUAUUUUGUACCCGCCCUUGGCUUGCUUCAUUUGACUGCUUUUUUUACAGUUUGUUGUGUUGGCUUGCAGCUUGGUCUGGUCAUUGAUUUAACAAAUACUUCUCGAUACUAUCCAGUAUCAGAUCUAAAGAAAGAGGGUAUCAAGCAUGUUAAGGUUUGUUGUGGACAACCUUCUCACCAACCAUAUUUUCUUUUUAAGUAAAUAUUAUGUCUUUAAAGCUGUGGCUCCUUUUUCUUGUUCUUACAUUUGAAGAUCAUGGUUAUGGUUUAGAUCCAAUGCAAGGGCCGCGGUUCAGUACCUGAUAAUUCAUCUGUUAAUCAUUUUGUCUAUGAGGUUUGUUUCUUUCUUAAUAGUAUUGUUGUAGUUUUUCUGAGUUGUUUUGAAGAAUAUGGUUUCUAUUUCUCUUGCUAGCUUGCUGCUGUUUACAUGAAUAAACAUAUACGUUACCUCAGAAACAAGCUCCAGUUAUAGGAAUUAUUGAUACUUUCAGAACUACGUGUUGCAUUAAUUUCAUAUUAUUUUAGGCUAGUAUAUAUUGAAAGCGUGCAAAUUUAAUUGCUUUACCAUCUGAAUUUCAUUUCAAUUGUUAGAUAAUAUUAUGUUCUAUCUAAUCUAACUUACAAUUAAUCGGUUUUAUAUAUUAAUAUUAUAUAUUUCUUUAUUCUUCAACACUGUUUUAUAAUUUCAUGCUCAUAUGUUAUGUGAUUUUUUAUUUAACAUUUUGAUCAAAAGUUUCUACCCAUAUGAUUAUUUUCAAUUCCAGGUUUUACAAUUUUUAUCACGUCAAAAACACUCGAAGAAGUAUAUACUUGUUCAUUGUACACAUGGUCAUAAUCGUACUGGAUAUAUGAUCAUCCAUUAUCUGAUGCGCACAAUGUCAAUGUCUGUUACUCAGGUGAGCAUUGGAGUUGCUAUAUGAUUUCAUAUCUCUAUGUAAUGUUGCACAUGUUCUGUAUUUAUACUCGUUGGUUUUCCUUUUUUGCAGGCGAUAAAAAUAUUUUCUGAUGCACGUCCUCCAGGAAUCUAUAAACCUGAGUAUAUUGAUUCAUUAUAUAAAUUUUAUCAUGAAAAGAAGCCUGAAAUGAUAGUUUGUCCUCCUACUCCGGAGUGGAAGAGGACUCCCGAACUUGUUGAUCUCAAUGGUGAAGCAGCUCCAGAUAAUGAUGAUGAUGAUGAUGAUGAUGGAGUACCAGGUCCUCCUUUGCAGGUAUGGAUCUUAUAGAAAAUGAAUUCUGAUAUUUUGUUUCCUAUGAUAUCUCAUUAUACGAAUAGGUUGUUGAUCUUCUGGUGUGUUUUCAACUUUUCAUUCAAGUCUCAUUUCAGUUUUCCUAUUAGUUUUAACACAUGGUUUGGGUUUAGAGGGGCAGCUCGAAGAUUUAUCUAUUUAUUUUCAGCUAAACCUGUAAAGCAUAAUAUUCUAAAAUCCUUUUUUAGGGAGAGGUGGGGGUACCCACUGCACCAUCCAUAUAUUUGGGUUGUCUAUUAUCAUUGUUAUGUACAUCAUACAGCUUGAGUUCAGAAACAGUGGUCCAAUUGUUUCCACGUUGUAGGGUGGGGAUUUUCCUUUGGAUUAAGUUUUUAAUGUUCUGGAUGUAUGUUGGUUGUGCCCCCUUUAGGUUUGAGCAGAUUGUAUCAGUUUUUCUAGGUUUCGGAAAGAAAUAAGGGACCAAAAUUUGGUAUAUGGUUGUGUUUGCCACAUUUAAUUAUCACUUAUCUUUUGCCCAUGGAUAUUUCAAGGGAUGUUUCCAUUUGCCUGAUGCGGAGAGGAUGAACAGCCUUGUUACAUGGUCAGAAAUUUUAAGUUUCCUCACUGUUCUUUUCUUUGUUUUGGGUGUUAUUUUAGCCUCCUAGUUGUACUUUACUUCUUGUCUCUCUAUUUUAUAAUUUAAAAAUGGUGUCCAGAAAAAUUUAUGGGAUUUCUGAGUAAGUCAUUUGACUGUGUUUCCUCCUUUUCAUCUUUUCCUUGCGUCCAUUUUCACUCCCAUCAAGUGUGCCAUAACUGUUGCAGGUUCAUAUGUCAUUGAAGAUAACAUUGCACUUAUUGUGGUGUCUGAAUGAGUUUUACUUAAAUUUGGCCUGUCUUAGAUACCCUUAUAUGUUAUAUUAGUACAUUCUUGAACCUAGUUGUUAAUUUGUUUUGUACUUUGGAUCAAACAGUGUUUGAUAAACUGAGAGAAAAGAGAGAAAAAAGUCUGAAUCGGUGCUGAAUAUUGAGACUGAAUAUGAAUUAUUAUUGGGUUCUGAGGUAACCCCUAUUUAUAGAACUCACUGUGACUAUUAGACUAAGACUCUGAAACAGACUCUAACCAACUAUAACCGCCACUGACAGCUGUAACACUAACAGAAUUGAGAAGUAAUCGGGUAUAGUAGAGACUAUGUAAGGCCUCGAGAAAACUAACAGUUACAUGUGUAUACUCUUUUAGUAUCCUAUUGUCUGAUUGUUAUCAAAACUUGAUGUCUUUCCUAUUCUCUUAGGAGAACCACGAGAUUGAGACAAUAAUGACAAAUGAUGAUGUUUUGGGAGAUGAGAUACCUAAUGAUCAGCAAGAUGCAUUUCGGAAGUUCUGCUUUCAAAUACUCAAAUUGGGGGUUGGGGUAAGCCUUUUAAAUAUCUGUAUUUCAUGUGAGUUUAUUAUUUGGAUUUCUGUUGUGCUGACAAGUGACAACUCAGUGAUGUAAUUAAGAUGUUUUUAAUUUUAUUAACUUCCCUGCUUGUUUGUUAAAUUGCAUGGCAAGAAAUGAGUCAGUGGGGCUGUAUUCUGCAAGAUGUUACUCUAAUUAUUUGGUACUUCUUUAUGUUUGUCUCAUUGUUGGUCUUGGUUACAAUUGUGUGGUUGGACAAAAGCUGCUGAUAACAUGGUUUUGCUUUGCUUUGCUUUUCCCCCUUCUUUUUUAAUUAUGCUUUAUCUUAACUGCCGAUACAUGUUUUUAUUUUGCUCACCCUCCCUUUAAUUUUGAUUUACCUUAUUAAUGUAUCUCUUAUGCUUAUUAUAUUACCGUUUUUAUCAAUUUCUGUAAAUGCAGGCCAGAGGACACAUGCAAUUUCCGGGAUCGCACCCAGUUUCUUUAAACAGGUCCAACUUAACUGAGCCUUUAACAUACUAUAUUGUGAUAUGUUAUAAUAUUAAUUUAGUGGAAAACCUAAGGUUGCAAGUUAUUGAGCUACUAUACUUUCAUUUACCAUUCUUCUGUGCCUUAACAAAUCAUAUGAUUAUGUUGGUAGUUAGAAUUGAAUUUUUUGUGUGCAUUUAUGUCCUUACAAAUUAUGUAAGACUGGAAAUGAACAAACUAUGCUUAGGAGGGGAGGUUUGGGAGAGUUUAUACAGAUGUGGUCUAAGUUCCAAACAGUUGUUUUGUUGCAAUUAUACUAAUUAGUAAAUUUUUUCUAUAUUCUAUUAAAAUUCAAAUCUAUGUUCUAAAUUGGUCAUUUACUUUUAUGCUUCCAUAGUUUUGUAAAUGUAGUAAUUAAAGUUCCUUAUUGAUUUGGCCUUUUUAUCCAUAGUAUGUCAAAUGUUAAAUUUGGUUGCUUUGCAUGCAGGGAUAAUUUACAGCUGUUACGACAGCGUUACUACUAUGCAACAUGGAAAGCUGAUGGAACAAGAUAUAUGAUGCUAAUAACUAUGGAUGGGUGCUACUUGAUUGAUAGAAACUUCAAUUUUCGAAGGGUUCAAAUGAGGUUUCCUUGCAGGUUUACAAAUGAUGUAUGUCUGGUAUACUGCUAAUCCUGUUAAUUUAAAAUGGAACUUCUGAAUAUGUUGCUGUUUGAACUUAACGAUGCAAAAACUAAUAUGUUUAUAUCUUUGGCUUCCAAGGGCUUGGCUGAGAAGACUCACCACUUUACAUUACUGGAUGGGGAGAUGAUUAUUGAUACAUUGCCAGAUUCAAAGAAGCAGGAAAGGAGAUACCUAAUAUAUGAUCUGAUGGCAGUCAACUUCAUUUCGGUGAUAGAGGUUCAAUUCAUCUGUAAUUGCACAAUAUAAUACUGGAUGUUCUCAUUUUGGUUUUGAUUAAUAUUGUUCAAUAAUUGUGCCAUUAGGUGUAAUUUUAUUUCCAUAGUGGAAAAAUACUGAAAUUAAUGCAACCUUUUUUUUUCUUAAACUUAAUUUUUGUUGUGGUUAACUAAGCAAAUGCAACCCUAUUUUUCUAGAGAGCAUACUAGCUGUUUCUUUUAUGACCUUACAUAUCAGUUUUUUUCUUUUUAAUUAAUUUAUUUUCUAUGAAAGCAGUAUAGCAAUUUUUGACUCUGCUACCAAAUUGUUUUUCUUCCUCCUAGUGUAAACUUUCCAAUCAGCUUCUUGUGCAGUACUUUCUACUAGUGCAGUUUCUUUUAUGACCUUACAUAUCAGUUUUUUUUCUUUUUAAUUAAUUUAUUUUCUAUGAAAGCAGUAUAGCAAUUUUUGACUCUACUACCAAAUUGUUUUUCUUCCUCCUAGUGUAAACUUUCCAAUCAACUUCUUGUGCAGUACUUUCUACUAGUGCAGUUUCAAGGACAGGUUUAGAUGGUUUGGUGGGAUUUUUUGGUUCUAUUGGUGUGGAAUUUAUUGGUACUGUUGGUGUGGAAUUUAUUGGUUCUGCUGUUGCAGAAUUUCCCGAUUCGGCUGAUUCUGUAGGGGCAGGAUUUUCUGUUUCUGCUGCUGCAGUUUGUUCGACCAUCUCAAAACCCAAAAUAUGGAAUUCUAUUGUUUCUUUCGAGAUUAAGCUAUUCUCCCUCUGAAUUACAACUUUGGAGUAAUAAGGUUGAUUCUCAAAGGUCACAUCUGUAGUGUGGUAAAAUUUUCUGGUUGUCAGGGAGGAACACCUAUAUCCAUUUUGGUGAGGUGAGUAGCCAAGAAAAAUACAUUUGAUAGAUUUUGGGUCAAGUUUGCUGCGGAGAGGGUUUAAGUUGUGAACAAAGGCUGAACAACCAAGGAUUUUAAAUGGGAUUGAGGUGAGAACUCUGAUAGUUGGAAAAAUAGUUUGGAGAUGGAAUAGGGUGUGUCAAAAUUGAGGAUACGGGAAGACAUCCUAUUUAUGAGAUAGGUGGCUGAAAGGACAGCUUCUCCCCAAAACUAUUUUGGUAAAUUUGUGGCUAGCAUGAGAGAUCUUGUUACUUCCAGUAGAUGCCGAUUUUUCUUUCUGUGACCCCAUUUUGUUGGGGGUAUCUACACAUGAACUCUGGUGGACAAUUCCAUGGAUCUUAAGGCAAGACUCUAGUGUCGAACUAAAAUAUUCACAAUCAUUGUCGGUUUUGAGCACCUUAAUUUUUGUUUGGAAUUGUGUUUGCACCAUGGUGUGGAAAAACUCAAAUCAUUUUCCAACUUCUGAUUUCUCUUUCAUGAGAAAUAUCCAUGUAACUCUUGUGUGAUCAUCGAUGAAUGUAACAAACCAUUUAGCUCCAGUGAUGUUGCUAACCCGAGAUGUCCCCCAUACAUCACUGUGAGCUAAGGGGAAGGGUUUAUAUGGUUUAGGUGAGUAUGUGUUUUGGGUAUGCUUGGAUAACUAACACACUUCACGUUGAAAGUUCCUUAGGUUUUUACUGAAUAAUGAGGGAAACAAUUUCUCUAAGUACAUGAGAUUUGGGUGACCUAAUUGAUAGUGCCAUAAUAUUACAGACUCGUCACUAUUUGGAGAAACCACCGUACAAGAAUUGGCUUUGAGUUUUUUGGAGGAAUUUUCAACUUGCAAGUAGUAAAGUCCAGCACACUCUUUAGUACUGCCAAUUGUCUUUCCCGACUCCAAAAUUUGAAAUUCACACAGAUUGGGAAAAAAUUUAGCAACACAUCUCAAGUCUCUGGUCGGUUUGCUAAUAGACAACAAGUUGCAAUCAAGUUUGGGCACAUACAGUACAAAAUUUAGAGUAAUAUUUUUUGAAAUAAUAACAGAACUUGUACCAGUAACCCUUGGCAAGGUACCAUCAACAAUUUGAAUAGAGGAGUUAUCAUGAUGGGGAGAAUAAUUGUCAAAUAUUGUUAUACCUCCAGUCAUGUGAUCCCAAGGCUCCUGAAUCUAUGAUCCGUGAUUUUGGUUUUCCUUUGCUAGUGUGUAAAGCGUGUAAAAAAUUACCUUUUUGUGGUACUUAAGCUGUACCACAUUUUUCUGUAGUAAGAACAGUCUGCCGGAGCAUUUUCUACAAAGCCUCUAAUUGUUCUUUGCGGAAUGGAGAUGGAUCUUGUUUCUCUUCCAUUUCUUGUGGGUUGUGUGGUGCAUUGCCUCGGAUGUCCCUAUUGCAGAAUGGUUUUGACCUCUCCCAUUGAAGAUGGUUUUGGCCAUUCAACUUGUGGCCAGUGAUGAGAAGUUCAGUCCCUUCGAUUGAGCUGACAAGAUUUAUGCCAGUCUCUGUGGGUGAGACUUCUGUUUUGUCUUCUUCCAUGGCUGGGUCGAUGAAAGAGAUUAGGGAUGGUUCAGAUCUAGCUUUGAUACCAUGCGGAAAAGUGAUUGUUUAUUCACUUGAUAAUGAAACUGAUUACAUAAGGAGUAUAAAUAGUACAAGUAAUUUAAUUAUGUAUAAUCAAAAUAGAGUUGGAAAUUAGGAAACUGAUUCCCUAUAAAUGCUAUCCUAAAAGGAAAUAAAAAUAAAACUGAAAUCCUAAUUAAUACAUACUAAUAAUAACUAUACAGAUCAGAAUCUUAUGAUUCUGAUUUUUGAUCUUAUAAUCAACACUUUUACUUUUCUUUCUAUUUGCAUGAUUCUUGUUAAUCAUCCAAAGUUCUUGUUAAUGUAGCUUAUUGUUUGAUCUUUGUUGGCCAUAUAUUACGAUAUAUGAAAGUAGGGAUUUAGCAUGAAGGAAGGUUUUCAAAGUGUAUACAAGGAGGGAGAUGUAGAUGGAAGGAACUCAGCUAAUUAAUUCAGUUGGUGGUAUUAUAGGAACAACUGUUAUUUUAGUAAUUAGGUGUCUUUUAAUUUAUUAAUUAGGAGAAUUAUUAGGACUUAUUAGAGUAUCAUAGCUGCAAGGUAGUAAAAUACAGGAUAUAAGUAAGAACCAGGGAAGAAACGAAGAGAAAGAUAGAGAUGGACACUGAGGUAGACAGCUACUCAGUUACCACCCAAGGAUGCUGAAUAUUUACCAACACAGCGGAAUAUAAAGGAAUGUGAGAAACGGAUGACUGAAAUGCGAAGAUGGACAAUGCUGACAUGUCCUCUCUAUGUUUUGCACUUCUGGAUUUGUGUAUUUUAAAUAGAUCAUGAUGUGGUGUAUCUUUAAUUACAUUUUCUUAAAAGAUGAACCAUGUUGAAAUCAAUCUAACAUUUGGUUAUCAUAUUAAUCUUUACUUAAAAUGUCUGUAUGUCUUUUCUUCUAAUUAUUAUCCUUUAAAAUCUGUGUUUUCUUUUUCUUAUUAACAAAUUUAUGGUUAAUGUGGUUCAAACCUUGGUGCAGCGACCUUUCUGUGAACGGUGGAAGAUGCUUGAGAAGGAAGUGAUUGAACCCAGAAAUCAGGAACGGUACCAAGGCAAAAAUCCAUACUAUAGAUAUGACAUGGAGCCUUUCAGGGUAUGCAUUUCUUACCUGAAUAUUAGGCAUAUAACUCAAGCUUUAUUUUUCCUCUGGUAAUUGGGUGUUAAUAUAUCUGAAAUGAUUAGGUGAGGAGGAAAGCUUUUUGGUUGCUCUCUACUGUCACAAAACUUUUGAACGAAUUCAUUCCGAAACUCUCACAUGAUGCAGAUGGUCUCAUAUUUCAGGUGGGUAAUGGGUGUAGAUCAUUUUCAUUUGUAUUGAAUAUUGAUGAGAUUAUCUCUUCUGACCUGUGCAUAACUUUCUUCUUUUUCAAUGCCAAGAUAGCAAGUAACCAAUAUUUCAAUCACAUGGCUUUUAGCCUUUAAGAUAUUUGUUUUUCCCAUCGGAUUCUCUCUCACAUCAGGGUCUACAUACUACUAUAUCUUAAUCUAUGUUGUCAAUCCCGGCAAGAUCCCGCUGUCCCGGUGUGGUGGAGGGACUGGCCGCGAUGCCACCUAUCGGGAAAACGCAUUCGACGGUAGCUGCGCUCUCUGCCGCUAAUCCCGCUAUCACCGCGACCUGUUAUCCCAGCCCCGACCCGCUAUCGGACCCACUCUAGGGCAUUUUAAAAAACACAAGUUUUUAUUUUAUUUUUCAUUAAGGGUAUCUAAGUCAAUUUGCACAGCUUAAGCCCUUAUAUUUUAUUAUUAUAACCCACAAAGGGGUGGGUUUAGCAUCAAGAAAAAGAAACCAUUUUCGUUCUUCCUCUGUUUCAUUCUUCCUCUGUUUCAUUCUUUCUUUGCUGUUUUCGUUCUUUUCUUGUUCCAUUCAACAUCGUUUUUCAUUCUUUUUGUGACUGUUUUGUCUGCUCUGUUAUGUUGAUUACGAUUACUAUUAGAACUUGAUUUUGAUGUUAGAUUUUGGUUAUUAAGUAUGUUUACCCAUUUAAUUUUGUGUAUUUUGUUAUUUUUUUAGUAUUUUUGUAUAUCAUUUGUAUUUUAUGUUUAGUUUAUAUACUGUUUUUUUGGCCUUCGCAAUAGCGGUCAUCCCUCGAUCCUGCUAUCCCAUUUUGACGGUUCGGUGCUCUGCACCGCUAUAUGAGACUGACAACAUAGAUCUUAAUCAGAGAAUGGAUAUCCUUGUGGCUUCCAUAGUGAUCUUAAUAUGAUGUCCGAUCCAGUAAACGAGACAUUGUAUCUAGCCUAACUUACAGAGGAUCAAUGUUACCUAGACUAGCGUAUAGUCUAGGCGCAUUGGUCCAUUCGUUUAUUUCCUCCUUACCACACACAAAGUCUUUCCUUCUUCUUUCCCUCAUGUUAUUGAGGUUGUUACUGACAAUAUUUAUGAUCAGGGAUGGGACGACCCUUAUGUACCACGCACUCACGAAGGCCUCUUAAAGUGGAAAUAUGCUGAUCUGAAUUCAGUUGAUUUUCUCUUUGAGGUGAUAAUUUUCAACUUAUUACAUAUGUUGCUCUUGAUGUUUGGUCACUUCUAGUUUGUUGCUGAUGCACCCAACUAAUAUCUAGCUGCUUGUAUUUAAUAGAUUGAUGGUGAUCGUCAGCUGCUUUUUCUCCAUGAACGUGGAAAAAAGAAACUCAUGGAAGGGUAUAUUGUUGCAUUUGAAGGUCAGGAAGAUUUUUUUUAUUUCAUUACACCUGCCCAACUCAUUCAGUUUUGAUGUUAGUUGUUUGAAUAUCUACUAUGUAUUUUUAGAAUAUCAGGGUGUAUCUGAGAAUAUUUUAGAACAUCUUCAAAGAUAUUUAGAAUAUAGUGGAAUGAAUCAGUUAUGUCCUAAUUUUAUCUUGUUUCCUUAUUUUAACAUAUCAGUGGGCUUGUGCUUGGGCUAGUACUUACGCUUGUACUUUACCUAAACUAUUGUUAUAAAUAAAUAUAAAAAGAACAAUUUUGUUUUUUUAUGACAAAAUUUAGAGUGAGGGGAUAGUGCUCCAUUCCAAGGUAGGGAAGAUCUUACGACUCAUUGAGCACUUACAAAGGGUUUAUAUUUGUCUCCCUCCAAAGACAAUUGGUUAUUUAGUAUUGCAUUAUUACACUGCAUAUAAAUAUAAUAGACUAUUCUUUGAAGUUUUUACUACUUCUUCCACCCUCCUCUUUCCCCUACCUAAAUACUAUAAUUUCAACUAACUAAAGAAUUUCAUGCUUCAUUCUUUUUUAUUUUUUAAGUUAAAAUCAUUCUUCUUUUUUAGAAUAGGAAAUUGAAGUUUUAUUACGUCGAGUCAGGUCAUGGCUUCAUAUUUUUUUCUCAAGGUCAUGGCUUCAUAUUUUUUUCUCAAGGUCAUGGCUUCAUUUGUUUCUCAGUACUUACAAGUUCACAUGCUAAUUUGGUCACCAGACUGGUCAUUUUCUUAUCACUAACCAAUUUCUAACACCCACCAGAAAGUUGGGUAUGGGUAUUGGCGUCUAAGUUUCUCUGUGAUAAUAUUUCAGCAAUCUUAUUAUGAGCACAUGAUUUUGUUAUGUUUAUGUUUCUAAAUCUGCAAUUUGUCGAUUUUUUAGUUGCAUUAGGUUUGUUGCUAAUGCUUAAUGAAAAUCUAAAAUAUGCAGAAGGUUCAGACCCCUCUCUUUAUUCCGGAAAGAUCAUUGAGUGUGCUUGGGAUGGUGAUAGACAUGAAUGGAUAUUCAAGCGAAUCAGAACAGAUAAGUCAAAUCCCAAUGACUUUAAUACUUACAAAAAGGUCCUUCGCCAACUCCUUUGAUUUUAAAUUUCCCUUUUGUAUCUCAUUCUGUAUUCUGUAUAUCAUUUUAGCUAUUUGCUCAAUUUAUUGCAGGUGAUGCGAAGUAUAAGAGACAAUAUCACAGAGGAUAUCCUGUUGAAUGAAAUAAACGAGAUAAUCUGCCUUCCCAUGUACGCCGACAGGAUAAAAACUGAUAGCAAAGCACAUCUCCACACUAAUAUCGCUAGGCGAAGGUAAUCAAUGAGGAAUUCACGGUCUGCAAAUGUUUCACUGGUGGGAGAAUCAUACGUUGAAAGUGAACAUCUGGUGAAAGUCAACUCAAAAGGAGACCCAUUGAUGCUCUGCAAAACAUUCAUGUAAUUAGUUAGUUCUUAGUUAUCGCAGUAAUUGGUACCUCACAAAUUCAUGCAUGAAACCAUUUCCUAUGGUUGUUUAGAUGAAAAGUUAGAUUUAGGAUCUCAGUGUAUAUUAUCUUAUAAUUUUCUUUGUUAAGUAGUGAUUAUAAACUGUUGAAAGGGUAGUUGUUUAUUAUAUUCAAGUUUUCAUUACAUUGGUCAGAAUAUUCCCUGUAUGUGAAUAUUAAUUUGGGAAAAGUACUAAUGAGCAUUCCAUUCUCUCCUGUGUUGAAAUUAUUCUGCAUUUACCUCCUCAGUGUAAACUAUGUAAGAUGAACUUAUCAAGUCAUUUCAACAGCGUAUUAUUCUCAAGAAUAUCAAGUAGUAGCCCAUUUAUAAGUAUCAAAGGUUGUAAUAUUCUGAAAGGGUGUAGAGGGAGGUGACAUCAAUUGUGCUUUAAAUAUUUUUGGUAGAGAUGAAGAUAUAAAUGUGGUUAAUUGGAAGCUGGAAAGCUCCCUUUGAUGAAUAUUUUUGCUUACAAAAAAAAGUUGGAAGUUGGAAAGGAACUAAUUCUCAUAAGCAAAUUAAAUUUUUAUAAUCAAUACAAGGCUAGAAAAUAUUUUUAAGAUUUCAAUGGUUGAAGUUAACCUCACUCAAAAGUGGACCGCUUAAUGCCUUCUUAACUAAUCUCCUUUUUAUUUUGUGGUUUGCAAAAUGAUUACUUGGAAAGAUGGUGCAUCUUUUUGUCAAAGGAAAAAUGGUAUUUAAGCAGCCAAAAAAUAAUCGCAGGUUACCCCCACAAAUUCAUUCCUGCACCUUCACAACUCUGUUAUACAUCUUUACUGAAAUUAAAUAUACUUAUCUUUGUACAUUCCCAUAUAGUUUUUGUUUCAGUUAUUUUUGGGAUGUCUGUUUUUGUUAUAUGAUUUUUCUUAAAUAUCCUUACCAUUGUGCACUACCACAGUUCUAUCUGUGUAGGGGAUGCGUGAUAUACACCAAUAGUUUAGCAGAUCUUAGCAUUACGUACACACUUUGGAGGUCUUAUCUUUCCUCACUUAGCCUCUAUCCAAUGGACGCCAAUUGGAGUUUUAAUCAGUUGUGAAUCAAUCAAAUCCAAUGGAUGCCAAUUGGAGUUUUAUUCAGUUUUGAAUCAAUCAAAGGGAAAGUAGCAAUAGAAGAUCAUACAACUUUUUGGUUCUUUUUAUGUGCACCCAAAACUGAAAAAAGUGGGUCAAUGAAUGUUGAUCCAGUUAGUCAAGAGUUGACUUAUACCCCACAAUGAUGUGAGUUCAAUAACUGUUAUCGAUACGAGGACUUCCUUGGUUGAUAAUCUAUUAGUACAUGAGAGUCGAAAAUGGAAGUGAGCAUGACAAGGAGUUAGAAAAAUUAGCCUUCAAGAAAGAUGCAUUUCGGUAAAGAAAAAGUUGUGGUGUGUGUGAAAAUGAUAGUAAGGGAAAGUUGUACGUUGCAUUAGACAGAACACACCACAUAAAAAUGUUAUUAUUUUGUUACAAUUUCAAGUAGCGUUAUGCUUCAUAUCAUGCUAUUAAAAUUUUUGAACACUAUACAAUCUUGUCCUUGAAGAUUGGCUAGCCAACCAUGAAACACCUACAUCCCCGCUGCACGACCACUUAUGAAUCCAUCUGCACUUCAAACUUCCUUGUACCGGAAGCUCAAAAUCAUAAACUGACAAACCUGCAGACACAUCAUAACAAAAUGAAGUUACUUUUCUUCAAAUGAAUUACUGCAAAUAUCAUAACAAGCUAAUAACCUUAUAGAAUAUAGACAAUUUAAACAUACAGAAUAACAGCUUUCAAAAGCUGAUAAUUCUAGGUUAGAAAACUUAAAACUUAAAAAAAAAAAAAGGCGAUUUUCCAAAAUACAGCAACAAAUUCCUGCUCAAAGAAAGAAAUGAACUCUUUGCUUCCAAACAAGAAGCCACAAAUAGGUAUCUAAUCACAUAAGUAGUUCUCAAUCAAUGAUGCAAUGAACAAUAGAUUACAAUUUACACUUGACCAAUUUGAAAGAUUUAUUGAAGUGAACUCUGACAGAGAAGAAAACACUUGAAGACUCUGACAACAGAAAAGUAUACUUCAUCAUCAAGUAAAUGCACAAAGAGACUUCAAAAAAAAAAAGAUUUAUUUAGAGAUGAAAGCUAAUUCACUUUCUGAAACUCUAGAGUCAACCAAAUAAACAAAGUUUAAGAUUAAAUCAAAAGGAAAGGAAAAAAAUAGGAGACUUCAUAGCACAGUACUGUAAUGUAGAAGCAAAGAUAACUAAAAGCCUUUCACAUCAUCCUAUUGAAAUCUUUUUGAGGUUAUGAUGGUUGCCACUAUCCAACGGAAUUAGCUCACAAAAUAAAUUCUUCUAUUAAACAAUGUUACACUGAUGGACAACAGAUUUUUCACAAAUUUCUAACUGAAAUUUAAAAUUGUAAAUAUUCACUAACUCUGCUCCUGUUUUAUGUUUCUGCAGUGCAAUGUGUGCUUAGUAAAUGUUAUUUCAUUCGAUUUCAAGGGUUACAACCAUUCAUAUCAACCUAAGAUAUAAAACUUGGACAGGUCAUUGACGUGGCCAUUGUACUUAGUCAAUAUUACAAAUUAUAAAAAAAAAUUGUAACUGUAAAUUUCAUAGUUGGAAAAAUUCCAAAAUAGAUUCACAUCACACUUAAACAUUUCAUAGUCAUACUACACUUGAGUAGACAUUCACAAAGUUAUUUUGAAUUGUAUGAUUCUGAUGUGGAACAUCAUUUAUGACUGUUACAAUGACUCAGCGGCCAAGUCACCGGUUUUCUUAUCAAAUCAGUCAAUUCAAACUAGAUUUCAUCAGUUCCCACAUAUUUCCGAUCUAAUUAGUGGCUUGGACCAGUCACAUGAUCGAUUAUGGGUCAAACAGGAUCGACCGGCUUGUUCAAACCGUUCUUCCAUCAAUGUAAUCAACACAAUUUCAACAUCUAUGUAACUGAACAUAUAGCACAACUCAACCCAAAUUCCGCGACUCCAACACAUUAGUUUCAUUAAUAACAUUUUGCCUAUCCAAAAAAAAUUCAGCAAAAUCAUCCACAGCCAAUCAUGAAACCAAUCAAGCCAAUAACACAAACAUGGCUAACAACUCUAUAAAGGGUUAAAAAUAAAGGUUAUUGAAACAAACAAAUACCUACACAGAAGUUCAAGAUGCAAACUCACCUAAAACAACAAGGACCAAGCUUAACAUAUAAAAAAUCAGAACCCUUGCAACACAGGUCUUUUUCCAAGCCUCUUGAUCUCUCUAUCCAUUUUUCCAGUAAGCAUCAAUCCAAACAUUUUGUAAUCACACAAAAAUGACCAAAAGGGGUGUCCAAAAGUAGCUGGAACAUUCUUUUCAACAAAGAAAUGACUAUACCAUGCACAUCCAUAACCAGAUAAAGGAACAAAGAACAAAAACCACCAACUGAAGAAAAUAGAAAACAUCAAGAAGAAAAUACUCAAAAACGUUCCCACAAAGUGCCAAUGUCUUGUAGCCCUUUUUGAAUGUUGGCUCACAUAAAAAGCCCAGAAAUCUUCUAAGCUUCUGAAAUUCAUUGGGUUCAUAAAAACAUAAACAAAAUCAGAUUUUUUUAAGAACCCAAUUGAGAAAAAGGGUGAAAAUCUAAUUCGGGUGUGAAAUUGAAAGAAUUUAGAUACAAAAAAAAAGUUGGGUGGUUUAUGAAAGUGUGAAUUUGGAAAUAAAGUUGGAAUUUUGAUGGGGAAGGGAAAUUGGGGGCAUUGAAUUCCACGGAAAUGUGUUGUGUUGCUUUGUGUGUGUCGUGUAUGGUUUUGAUUGGAUCGAUGAUAUGAAGGGAACUUCAAGGUCAAGACUUCUUCUCAAUCCUAUCUUUUAUAGUUUGCCAUUUUCUUUAUUUGGAAAAAAUUAAACAAAAAAAUAAUAAUAACUUUUAUGCAUUUAAUUUUAAGAUGUAAUUUUUGUAUGGACAUGCAUCUAUAAUUAGGCAAAAAUUACAUCGACACUCUUUAAUUUAUAAAAAAUUGAAGUUUCAAGUAAGUUAUUUUUUACGUGUCUAAUUAGUCAUUUCUCAUAUUAAAUUAGUUUUUUAUAUUCAAAAAUGCUAUUAAGGUUGAAUCACAUGUAUAUUAUAAAAAAUCUUACUUACUUGAAUAAAAGUAAAUUGUAUAUAUAAUUUAUUGCGAUAAAUUUUAAAUUGCAUUAUAAUUAACAUAAUCUUUUUUUAACUUUUAUUUAACAUUGAAAUUUUAACAUAAACAUUUUGUGUGUGUUAAAAACUAGAGUCUAGUUUAGGGAUGACAAUGGGUAGGGUACUAUAGUAUUCGUCCCCGUACCCGCAGUUUAAAAAAAUAUACAUAUCUUUGGGUACUUAAGUGUCUGUACCCAUAUUCAUUACCUACACUUUAACUAAAAUACAUCGAUAAAUAAAUAAUAUUGUUGUGAUUAAAUUCAAAAAUUAUUCAAAAAUUUUAACUCCAAUCAUAAAGUAUUAUAAAUCAAAAUAUGUUAUAACUCAACAUUUCAAAUGAACACUAGUUACAAUACACAUUCUAAUAUUCGUAGUAAUAAUUUAUGAAGUUGCAAGUUCUACGAUAAUAUUAUUCGAGAUCUUUAAAAACAAUUGAUAGAAAAUUGCAAAUAUAAUUAUAAAGUCACGAUUAAUAAGACACAACUCUUAAUUAUAAGGUCACAAUUAUUUACAUAUUCAUCAUAAUCAAUUUUUUAAAAAGUUUGCAAACGUUUAUCUUUCAAUUAUAAAUAUUGUAGUGGUCCAAUGAUAUUAAUAGAUGUUAAAACAUAAAAGAAAAAAAUUAAUUAAACUAAACACUAAUAUAAUAAAUAAGUAAAUAAUAUAUUUAUAUAAGUGCAGGUGCGGGGCGGGGUGAGUACUAUAGUACCCGGCACUCACACCCGCUUAAUUUUGUGGGUAAUUACUUGUCUAUGUGCCCAUACCCAUUAAGCGGGUUUUACCCUACCCUUGUGGAUUUUUUUUGCGGGUACCUAUUGAAUCUGGGUCUAAUUGUCAUCCCUAGUUUAGUUAUAAUGACGAGUGAUGAUUUUUUUUAAAAAAGUAUUCUAAAGAAUAGAAGUUAAUUUAGUGGUAUAAAUACUUUUAAAGAUUAAUGACUAAUUUGAUACUAAAAAAGGCAAAAGACAAAAAUUGUUCUUCUCAAAGGUGUUUUAGCGACCUUACUGGUUUAUUUUCUUUCUUUUUUUAAGGUUUCGUCCGAUACUAUCUUCAUUUUGAAUUUAUGUUUAAUUUUUUUUUGUAGGAGAUUGCGAGGAAGCUCGUAAAAUUCGUUGGGCUAAAUGGAAGAAAAUUUGUCUUCUCUCGGAGAAAGAGGGUUUGAGAGUUCAUAGGAUGACAAGUUUUAAAUAUAUUUUAUAAGACAAAUGAGAUUAGCAUCUGAAAAAUAAUCAACUAGGUUUAUGGUUUAAAGUUUUGUCUCGUAAAUAUGGAUAAAUAGAAUUGGUGUUUUGUCUGUUUCAACUUUAGUGUCGAAUUGGUGGAAGACUUAGCUUCUGUGUACGAGGGAGAAAGUGUAGGUAAACUGGGUUGGUUUAGUGAUGAGUUGACAAGAAAUGUGGGUGAUGGGAGUCUUACCUCUUUUUGGAAAGAUAAUUGGUUGGAAGGAGGUGCUUUGUGGAACGUUUUAAUUGAAUGUUUGUUCUACUAGAAAAUAAAUCAAUCUUACUAACUGAGAUCAACAAUCUUGGUUGGGAUGUUGACAAGACAUGUUAGAGGUGGGAGAAUAAGUUUUAUUAUUUGAGAGGAGAAUUGUGUUGGAAUGUAGUGUUUUAUUGGAAACAGUUGUUUUUGUAGAAAAAUAUAGCCGAUAAGUGGACCAGAAGCUUAACCAUGAUGAUAUGUACUCUUUCAAGCCUGCUUAUCAUAUUUUAGCGGAUGCGUCGAGCGUGACAAAUGAAUCUUUGAGUGACAUUAUUUUGAAUAAAGUGGCUUAACUAAGUUUCUUUUUUCUUGUGAAAACUUGUGUCUAAUAGGUUACCUACACAAGAUAAUGUGGUUUCUCGUGGGUUGCAUGAGCAACGUUCAAUUUCAUGUGUUGGCAGGUGUGAUAGGACGAAAUCGACUCAACACUUAUUUUUUUAGCGUCAAAUUUUUGCUUGGAUAUGGACAAAUAUUUUAGUUUGACUUGGGACUAAAAGUGUUUUUCAGAGAGAAACCUCUCUUCAUAUGUGACAAUUCGAAGGUUUAUUUUUUUAUAACAAGAUAUCGCGUCAAAGACUUCGAAUCAUUUGGUUUGGAUGCGUCUAGACCAUUUGAAAGGCUCGUAAUGAUAUGUUUAAACAAGGUAUGGUCACAUCACUUAAUUAGUUGGAUCAUAUUAAAAUCACUUUCUUGGUGGUGUCUCAAAGCUAAAACUUUUUCUUAUGACUUCAAUCAUUGGUGGCAAUACCCUCUAGAAUGUCUUGGUAUCUUUUUGAAACUUAUCUCGGUUCUUCUUGAAUUGUGUCAUUGAGCUUUAUAGUGAGAUAUUGGUUAUGACGUUUAAGCGCUUUGUAAAUUGUUUUCGUUACUCUUGGCAUCUGUUAUGCUUUAAAUAACCCUCUUUUUAACAAUUGAUCAAAUCAUGAAUGAUUAAGAUUAAAAAAAAAAAUGCGACUUUUUUAUGUGAAUCAUGACCAUUCAUGUAUGAUUAUCUAGUUAAAAUUUAAUCACCUUAUAUUAAAAUUUCUCUCACUAAUUAAUUCAUCCCAUAUAUAUAUGGAGUGAAGAUUCGUUGACUUCAAGAACUCUAUGAUGAGUCACUACGCUCAAUAAUUCAAUAUUAACGAUAAAUUUCACUAAUUCAACGGUUAAAUUAAAAUUUCUUAUUGAGUAGAUCAAAUUCAUAAAUUUUAAUCAACGGUUGAAUUAAUGAAAUUUAUCGUUUAUAUUAAGUUAUUAAAUGGAGUAAUUUAUCUGAAACUUACUCUUGAAGUCAACGAAUCUCCAUAUAUAUAUAUAUAUAUAUAUAUAUAUUUGAUUAAUAAGAUGCUGUAUGAAGUAUGUGUAAAAAAUUCUAUAUUGAUAUAAUGAGAUAAAUGACUAAUUUGACAUUAAAAAGACAAAUUAUUUGUUUGGAAUUUUAAAUUAAUUUAUACUAAAAUCAUGUCUUUUAAGAUUGUUUAAUGAGGAAUUUUGUAUUUUUCUAUUUUUUAUUAUAUUUUAAAUAAUAUGUUAGAUUACAACAAAUGAUAAAUAUUUGAUUUGAGAUGUCAAACUCAUCACGUGAUGUUCUUGUAUUCUAUUUUUACUUAAUAAAAUAUAAUAAUAUUUUUAUUAAAUUAAUUUAUAAACUAUCUUCACAAAUAUUAGAUGUUUGUGGUAUGUGUAAAAAAGUUCUAUAUUGAUAGUAUAUAUAAAUAAGUCAUAAAACAAAAACAAAUGAACAACCCUUAGUAUAGUAAAAAGUAUGCAAAACUCUUAUGAAAAAGAUUGAUUGAUUUAUUUAUCAAGAUAUUACUUUGUAAGAUUAGAAUUUUAACAAAUAUUCAUAUAAUGAGAUUUAAUUGGAUAAUUGUAUAAAAGAAAAUAUUUUAUAUAUGAAGAGAGAUUAAUUAGCCAAUUAUAUUUAGUCAUCUAACUUCCCAACUAUCAUUUUAUUUAUCGUGCGUCUAAAUGUUUCACUUUUCCACAUAUUCUUUACUUUAUCGAUAUUUUUUUGUUUGGUCUCUUAAUUCACAUGUCUUGAGCAACCAAACUUAGAAAAUUACGUAAGCACUUAGUGAUGAACAAUUUCUUAAUACAGUUAGGGGUAGGAAGUUUUUACUCCACUGUAACAUUUGUGUCUAAAUAAUUUCUCUGUAAUUCUAUAUGUGACAUUUUUUAGUAGUCACAUAUUUGUGAAGUACUUUUAGCUGAAAAAUAUUACAAAUUUUUUUAUGAUAUGAAACUACAUAAGGGGUGAGAGUUCUCUUCAUUCAUUUCUUAUAGAAAAUUAAAUGAAACUUUGAAAUUCAUGUGUAGAACUCCAUCAGGGUAACUUUUCAAUGAGAAGAAAUCACAAAACUUGGUCUCCUGUGGCAAAAAGAUUCCAAAAAAUGGUGGUCACAACAUAGAGACCUGAUGUUAUAGUUAAGAAUGCCUGAAAUGAUCCCAACCAUUGGACAAAAUAACCAGUUCCAAUUGUGCUUAUGAUAGCUGCUAAAGUUCCAGCUGAAUUUGCUAUUCCUGUAAAUUGUAAUAGUUUUGUUAUUGUUAAAAGAAGAACUAUGAUGUAAAAACAAAGGCUUAAUUUACUUUUUAGCCCAUAAAAUAUAUACAUUUACUGAUUUUUGUUUCUAUAAAAAAAUUGUCGGCUUUAGUAUCUGAAAUACAAAAUGGAUCCUCUACCAUUGAUUUUAAGGUUUAGUCGGUUGUAGAACUUUAGAUGAAUUUUUUUCUUUAAUCUAAUUAGAUGAAUUUUUUCCGUUAAUCUAAUGGUCUACAAUUUGCUACAUCGUAAAACUAAGGAUAGAGGUUCAAGUCUCCUGAAACAUGGGAAAUAUUGUUUUUGAUCUUUAUCAUUUUGAUUUUAGUCCUUAUAUUAUUUGAUAAUGUUGAAAUUAGUCCAUAUAUAUAUAUAUAUAUAUAUAUAUCAUAUUCUAAGGACUAAAAUGAAUAAGUUCACAUAUGGAUUGGUUCCAACAUGCACAAAUGUUUAUAGGAAAUAAACAAUAAAGAUCAGAAACAACUUUUUCAAUAUUAAAGGGACUAAAAUUGAACGAAAGAAAGUUAUAGAAACUAAAACAAACAAAUAUGCAUAUUAUAUGGAAUAGAGAGAUAUUAAAGCCAAACACAAGGGAAAAAAAAAAAAAGAACAUUUCCAACAAAUUUGCUCAACUUCUUACCAUGUAGAAUUCCUGCAUACUGAGGAGCAAUGUCCUGAUCAUGUAAAAUGUAAAAAGUGUGAGCAUGUGAGGUUAAGGCCUCACUAUUAUAUUUGUAAGUUCAAUGAAAUGUCUUAAAUAUAUAAUAUAAUGGUUAAAGUUCGAUUUUUGUGUGGUAGACUUACUUGUAUGUUAAGCAUAAAUCCAGCUUGGCUGAAAGAGCUCAAACUCAAAGCUGCAGUCAAGAGUGUAGCAGCAAUUGUUGGUGUAUUUGCAUAAUUCAAGCAUAGCAAGGUCACAGCUGGCCCAAUAAAUCCAAUUGUCUGUAAUUGGACAUAUAUACAUUACUAAAAACAACAUGGUAAACAUGUUGUUACAUGAUAAAAGCUCUGAGGCGUUACAUAUUUUAGUCUCCACCAGUUAAUAUGAAUUUCAUCUGCUUUUUUUGGUCUAUAAUUGCUUCAAAAUGCAAACAUACAAAUUUUCACAAUCUUAAAAAUGUUUCUUAUGGAGAUACAAGUACAUUCUUAGGCGUGAUGAGGCUGAAAGAGUUACCUGCAUUAAUUUACGGACAAAUGUUGUAGGGUACCCUGCAUUGAUUAAGAAAUCUGAUGCAGUACCAGCUAGAUAACCUGAAAAUGCCAUUGUUGCCCAUGGAACUGCACUAAACCAUGCUGCCUGCUUCAAAUUCACAUUAUACACCUACAGAAAAAAAAAAAUAGUCCAAUGUUGAAUUUUGCAAGCUUCAAGAAUAUAUAUACCUUUACUUGUGUAUUUUACAUACAAGCUAGCUCAUUCUAGUAUCCAUAUUUUUUAAGCAAUAUAUGAAACAACAACAUAAUGUUAUUUAUUAUGGGUGCAAAGUAGUGGAGUCUCUCUCAUCCAAACUACAUCUUUUCCAUCUACUUGACUCGAACCUAAAACCUUGAUUCAGGGAUCUAAGUCGAGUUCAACUCGGACCAACGUAACGUUGGUAAGUUGUUUUUUAUUAUAAGUAACAAGAACAAACAGAAAGUAAUUACGCUUUUGAAAUAAACCGGCAUCCAAGAGAGGAGAACAAAGUAACCCUGCAAAUUAACCAAGGUUUCAUCAUCAGUAUACUUAAAAUUUGAUUUAUGAUAACAAGUUCUUCUCUUUCACACAAAAGCAACUAGAAACUCACCCAAUUGUUUGUUGCAUUGGCAAAUAUUAUAGCCCAUGAUGGUAAUUUUGAUAAAAUAAGGCCUAAUGGAGGAAACUUGUUAUUACUCUUUUUUGUAGAAAGAAUUUUACCAGCUUGGAUUAAUCUUAAUUCUGAUCUGCUGAUGAAAUUGCUUUCCAAAGGAUCAUCUGUAACUUGAUGUGUCCAUGCCAUCACCCAAAGCAAACCAAGAAAUGAGAAUAAUAUGAAUGGACCAUAAAUUCCAAUAGAGGAUAACAUAAUUGGUGUUAUCAACAAGCCUAUGACAUUGCCAAUAUGAAAUCCAGCCAUUGAAAUUCCAAAAGCAGUUGCUCUCUCAUUAUUUGGAAACCACCUAUUCAAAUUGAAAGAUUACAUCAGCUUUCAAAUUAUAGAGAACUGUUAGAACGGCAACCUUGGUUCAAAAGAAAAUAGAAAUGAAAAACGCAAACAAAAAGAACACAUGAGAUUUUAUCACAGAGUUCGGCCAAUUGUGUCUAUGUCUCUGACUGUAGAGUGACUGCAGUUCCUUUCUAUUAAUUUCAAGCUGAGGGAUUACAGUGUACAACUUGUGUUUAAACCCUACGGUUCAGUUCACAAGAUUACUUUUGAACUGCUCAAGCAACUUAUCCACUUAUAAGGAAACUAUGAGUCAUACACAACAAAAGCCUACUAAUAAGGUUGCAAUUGAAAAACUUGACAUUGAAGUAUAAACAAGCUAAACCAUGAUUGAAAUACUCAAAUUUUCAGUAUUUGGCUUACAAGGUAUGUAUAAAUAUUUAUGUUUAAGGAGAUUCUAGAGGCAUCACCUUGAUAAGAGAGUACUCAUGGACGGAAGAGCCACUCCUUCAGCUAGUCCAAAGAAAGCACGAAUUGCCAACAAGGCUAUUGUGGAAUGGUUGGCUGCUAAAGGUGUAAGAAGAGUUGCCAAAGACCACAACAAUACACCACAAGCCAUCACCCUUUUUCCUCCAUAUCUAUCUACCAAAGCUCCUCCAAUCACUGAAGAGAAUAUGUAACCCCACAGAAAAGAUGACUGAUAAAUGCAUGAAAUAUAUGAGCUUUAUGUUAGCCAGUGACUUCACCACAAACAAACAAAAACAGAAGAAAGCGGUUUUUGUUUUAAAUGAUACUGUCAUGUAUCAUAGUCAUAGGACACUAAAUGAAACUAUUAUACAUUUAAGACAAGGUAUUAGAAAAAGGUCUGCAACCACGAUCUGAGUCUCAACAUCAAAGUUUUUUAUGUUUCCGCCACAUCGAAUGUGAUUCUUUGUAAUAUUAAAGAUCUCUACACGGAGAUUAUUAAAAACCUUGGUUCUAGAAACUACAAACCAGUUUGGGCAUGGUAUAGAAUUGAACAAAAACAAAUGCUUGUCUUCAACUGAAUUCUUGAAAACAAACUUUUUACUGCCAAUCACUAGUAAAUUGAUUAAUUAGUAAGUAUUAGUAAUAAUAUAAUGAUUUGAUUCUUUUCAAAGAAGUAGUACUCCUUCCGAAGCCAUUCCCUAGAAUUGUGAAUUGUCCUUCUUAUGUGAAUUGUGUCAGUUUUUGUAAAACACUUACACAGACAGGACACUAACAAUGAAAUCUUGAUAAUAACUUAAAAAAGGAAAUGAUUAAAUAUAUCUAUACAUAUUGGUGUAGUGAUGGUGCAGGACAUUGACACAUGUCAGACAGUACACAAUCACGUCUUUGAUCUGAAGUGUUAGUUUCAUAUAUAUAGUUGAGUUUCCUAUAUUCAUGAUGAGAAGUUUUGGAAUGAUUAUUAUUAUGUAUAGUACCUGAACAAUGCCAAGAAAAGAACUAGACCAACCAUGUUUAGCAGCAAGAGGAACAACAGCAACUGACAUGACAACACGGUCAGCAUUACAAAGACACAUCACACAUGCCACCAAACACACAACCUUGUACCUCUCAGGAAUAUUACUAAUAACAUUAUUAAUACCAUCUUCUCCCACAAUCAUUCCUCCAUCUAUUCCUUCUGCAGUACACUUCACACUCAAUUUCGUUCUCUUUCUCUCCAACUCUUCCCUUCUUCCUCUCUUCCAUUCCAAUUUUUUGGACUCAAAAUCCAACUUGACAUUCCUAUGACUAACAAAACUCAAAUGAGGUAGUUCGAAUGAACUAUGACCUCUGUAGCACGGAUACCUCUUAUAGAAAGUGUGUCUGGUGUUGGAUAUGUGAAAUACUGAUGAGUUUGUAGCAGCAGCCAUAAUAAAGAUUAAUGACUUGUGAUUAUAAAAAAAAAUUAAUAUUUAAAUAAUGAUCACAAAUUCAUGAAUAAUUGAUGAAUUGUUGUUGGUGUUAAGGAAUAUAUUGGAGAAGAAUGAAGAAAAAAGGUUAUCUUUGUGUGUGAAAUUACAUGGUUGUGAAUGUGAUCAUUUUGUAUUAUACUCUAUUGGGUGAGUUUGGUGAAAUGAAAAUACAUUUAACAACCACAACAAGAAACAAAAAAAAAGACAAGUUUUUGUUUGUUAUAUAUUGUAGGGUUGGUGAGAAAAUGAAAAGACGUCAAACAAAAAAAAGAUUAUAUGUCUAUGUGUCCUUGUUAGGGAUGAGAAUAAGUCAGAUCACACUAGACCUAUUAUUAAUUUUUUAGGUUUAAGUCUAGCGGCAUAUCGUAGAUUUUUUUUUGCAUGACCUUUUUAAAAAUCUGGUCUGGAAACCUAUGUAAACACCUUAUUUAUAUUAAAACAAAUGUUCUAUUCAUACCACAUACCAAUAUCAACAUAUACAUAUCUAUAUAUAUUAAACAAAAAAUAAUUUUUUUAACUAAAUAAUUUUUAAAAAAUUUGAAACAAACAUCUUUUAAAUCUUAAAAAAUAAUUUUUAAUUUCACGAAUAAAUUUUUGUAUGAAACAAAUGUACCAAUUAUUACCUCUCAAACAAAUAUGGAACGACUACUUGAAUAAUUGACUAAUUCAAUGGCUACUGAAUAUAGAACGACUACCAAAUAUGGAAGGACUACCGAAUAUGGAAGGACUACUGAUUGCCUAAUUGAUAAAAUUUAAAAUAGGAAAUAAUAUUAUUAAUAUAAUAAUAGAAAAUAAUAUUGUUAAUAUAAUAAUAAAAAAUAAUAUUAAUAAAUAAUAAAAUAUAUAGGUCGGCUUGUGAUGCGUUUUUUUAUAAACCUAAAACUAACCUAUUUAAAUAAAUGACCUUUAAAAAUAACCUGAGCUUAACAUUUUUAUUAAAUAGGUCAGGUCAGACCAAGCCAGACCAUAGAUCAGGGCAUAGACCUAUGACGGACGACCUAACCUAUUCUCAUUUGUGAAGAAUGAAGACGCAAUACGAGUAAAGGGUAAUUGUGGAAUUUUGGGUUUCAUUUUAUAUUGUAAUAACGUAAAACGUAAUAACCGCAUUGUGUGCGUGGCACCACGUGCCUGGUAGUGAGCACACGUGCCUGGUAGUGAGCACACGUGCAAGGUAGCAACAUCAAUGACGCCAACAUCGUUUUCCACGAAAUCUUCUGCCUGUACAAUCAUUGACUUUUAUUUAUUUUAAUUAAAAAUUAAAAACAAACGGGGUAGUUAAGAACCGUGAGCUAUAAACGUAGUAUCUCUCGGUCAACGUUAAUUAAAAAAAUCAUUUUAAUUAAGGCAUUUGUUAUUCAUUGAGAGUUAAGGAGGAGUAAUCACGACAUUGUUUACAUAUACUAUAUGUAAUUUUUUCGUUCUCAUUUUAUAAUAUUAAUAUAAUAUUUAUUUAUUUAUUAUUAAUAUAUUUUUAUUUAUUGUAUUUUAAUUUAUUAAUUUUUUCAUUCACUAUAAUUAAUAAAAUAUUUAAAUAAAUAAAAUUUAUUUUAAUAUUAAAAUUAGCAGAAUAGAUUAUUUUAAAAAAAAUUGUGUACAAUUCAAAUAAGAGAAAUGAAACAACCUCAAUGAUAUUUUGGUCUUUUAAACUCCAUAUGAGUCUACUUACAACUCAAAUAUUUAAUCCCUUUAGUCUCGUAUAUCUAAAAAAAAAAAAAAAUUUAAGAAGAGAGAGAAAAAUUAGUUUUUUUUUUUUCAAAGUAGAAAAAAAACUAUAUUCUUUAAAUUGGAAUGCAAAAUAAAAGAAAAAAUAUGAGCGAAUUGUUAACAAAAUAUAAUGAAGUUGCUAAUUUAUUUGCAAUAGGUUUUAAAAUAGGAGAACAUUGUUAAAAUAUUAUAGCAAUUUUUUUAGUACAUCUAUUCCUAUUCAACCGUAUUAACUUUGAUGUAUUUAUUUUUUUCUUUAAUGUAUUUCAUUUGAUUUUAUUAAUAUAAUUUGAUUUUUUUUAUUAACUUUUAUUUAUGAAAUUAACUAUUAAUAAAUUGUUAAAAAAAAUAUGGCAACACAUAGUGAUAUCCCUAUAAUGCCUCCUCCUAUAGGAGAAAAAGAAAAUCUUUAGGUUGUCGCAUUCCUACCUUGCGACUUCUUGAAGGUAAAAAUAAGUAAAACUUUUCGUUUGUAAGUUUCAAUAUAAGGUAUAAUGGAGAGUUUUAAUUGAAAAUAGGAUAUAAGAGAAAAAAUAUCCUUAAUUAAAUGGUAUUUUAGAAAUUAUGACAUUAAAUAUAGUAGAAUUAGUCACACUUUAUUUAUGUUUAAGACCAUCAAAUAUGACAUUUUUGUUGCUUAGAUUUGAUGGAGGGGGUAUGUGGCAUUUUAAACCUUGUGUAAAUUAAUCCAAUAGAUUUGAUAUAGUAAAAAGACAGGUUUUAGAUCUUCAAAUUGUAGGUUCGAGUUCUAUUAGUGUCAUUGAAAUAGAACACAUAUAAAUACUUUGAACCAUUUCUUCAAAUUGCAUUUUGUGUCUGCUCUUGCUAUUGCUAUUGCUAAAGCUCAAGCACCUACUUUACCUAUUGUUGAUAAUGCUUUAAACAUUUGUUCUUUUGAUCUUCCGUAUUUUAAAUUGGGACAUCCUUCACAAAAUAUUUAAAAAUACUUGUGUUCAAGUUCCUUUUGUUAAAUAUGAUUCUCAUAGAAUUUGUGAGUAUUGUCAUUUGGAAAAAAAUCAACGAUUUAUUUCCCAAAAUUAUUUCUAAAUUUUUGCAUGUAUUUGAUCUUGUUUAUUUUGACAUUUUGGGACCUAUUUCUAUAAGUCAUGUUAAUGGCCAUCAAUAUUUUUAAAUGGUUGUUGAAAGCAUAUUUCGAUAGUUUUAAUUAAACACAAGAGGGGAAGCACGGCAACUUAUUGGGAACUUUGUUGCCUUGAUUUCUACUUAAUUCAACACCCCAGUUAAAAUAUUUUGUUCGGACAAUGACCUUGAACUUAUGAUGCCUUCUUUUUACAUUUUUUUUUGUGGGUAUUUUAAAUCAAAUUUCAAUGUGUGGAAAUUGUGAUACCCUAAACCCCAAAAUAACAUUUAUAAUAAUAUAUAUUAAAUUAUUUGAAGAAAACUUGCAGCGGAUAAAAAAAUCUGUUAAAGAAAAUAAAAAUUUUAAUAUCUAAUUUAGAAUAUCACGUUUCUCUAAAUACACAAGUAACAAUUCAACUUUUUUUUCCAAUUAAAAUAGUACAAUAUCAAUGAACUUGAUUCAACUAAAAUUUCUUGAUUUAAUUCCCAAGACUUACUCGUACUAAGUUUUCAUAUAAAAAAUCAUUUAUAAUAACAUAAGUAAAAUACACAUUACAACUCUUAAUUCGCGGUAUCACCUAUCAGAGCGGGGUUUCUCCCAAACUUGAACUUCGAGACUCAUUAACCAGUAAUAACCGCGAUUUUGCAAACGCAGUGCCAAACCAGUCAAACACAAACAACGAAGGAGGUGAGUUUUGAAAUCACGUUGAUAGUAUAAUAUAAAUAAGAUGAACACGCAAUUAAUUAUCAAUAAACUGUAUCAUUACACAAACAUUCUUCAAGGAAAAACAUCACAUUAUAUAGUCAAAAUCAAAGAAAAUCAAUGCACUUCAUUGUAACAUCAAACCAUGGCAUAAAUUAUUAUCACACAUAAUACAUAGUAAUCACAACAAAACAAUCACAAGAAAAUGCAAUGCUAUGCAUGAGCUUAGACUCUACUUCACAAUGUGGUACCAUUCUAACUCUGAAGUACUUGGUUAAGAGGCUUGAUACUAUGCCACCAUCCCGGUGGACGGACAAUUCAAAUUGGCCCUCUCCUCAUAGAUCCCCUCAACUCAACCCGAGACACAUAUACGUGACAGUCGAGGUAAACGUGUGUUAUGUGGUAGCUCCCGACAUUUGGAGUGCUACCUCCAAGUCACCUAGGAAUUCCCCACCCGAAUACCUCCAAGGUCUAACAAUCUUGCCUUAAGGCUCGACAACAGACCGCCACGAUCAGACUCAUUCAGUUGUACUUCCCCGAAAUCACUAGGCUUGUCAGGCUCUACCUAUAUGAUGACAAAAUAAUCUCCACGUCACAAAUUCACAAUAUUUAUUUUCUCCUCUCGUUGGUAUAUGAUACUCCAUUAAAACCAUCACCUCAAACACAAAUUGAAAUCACCAUUAUUUCAUCAACUAUGGGGUUAAUUCAAUAUUCUCAUCACGGUUUAGAACAUCACUAUCAUCAUCAUCACAUAAACUCAUCACAAAUUUAUAGCAUCACUAUCAUCAAUCAAACAUUAUCACAAAUUUAUAACGUCACAAUUAUUAAUCGUACAUCAUCAUCAUUACAUAAAACUAUCACAACACAUCCAUCUUUUGUUAUCACAUCGCAUAAACUCAUCUAAUCACACAUAUAUAAAUUUAAUUCGACACCCAAUAUCACAAUAAUAUCAAUAUCACACAUUCAAAUAAAUUAAAUCAAUCAACACCCUACAAAUAUUUCUAUUCUAUAUUUUAAUCUCACAAUUUCCAUAUUUUCAUAUUAAUUAAUUUAUCCCUCAAAGGGCUACUGCCAUACGUAGCGAGCCCCGAAUGAAUCGUUGGGAAAUACGGUUUUCCCGUUCAUCUCACAAUAUAUUACGCUCAUGAAUUCAAACGCUCUCUCACCCCUUACCUUAUUUUGACGCUUUCACACAUGAAUAUGAUUCCAUGAGUAAACAGCAUUUGUCCUUUGACUCUGUGUCCGUCAAUCGAUCUAACUCGACAAUUUAUGGAUAAAUGUCAAAAAUAAAUUAUGAGAAGACACUCUAAAAAUUAAAUUUCCAAAAUCGGUCAAGUAAACUUACCAUAAAUUAGAAAACUAAUCAGUGGAUAAUAUAACCACUUUUCACACGAUCGUUUUGGCGUUGAUUUCACUCAAAUCGGACUUACGGUGAAGAAGAACGAUGCAAAAUAAUGAAUUCUACAAACGAAGAAGUCGGGUAUUUUAGAGAGAAAUUGGAGUUGUUAAAAAUCUGGAAAAAUAUGUUUAAUCGACUAACUAAAUGUAUAAAAUAACAUACUGAAAUUUCAACGGAAACGGAGAAAAUUUUCUGAGACAGUUAUCGACCGUCGGUAUCAAUUUUCUUCUAUUUUUCCUCCAAUUCUUCUUGGGAGCCGUUGUCGCGUAACUUGCUCUCUCUCUCUCUCUCUCUAUUUUCUUUCUCUUUUAUUCUUUAAUUAGGUUUUACUUGGGCUUUACCCAUGAAAUACAUUUUAAUUUUUAAUUAUUUAUUUUUAAUAAAACUAACAACUACCCAAGUUAUUUUUUUAACACUUUUUUCUAACACAAUAUAAUUACUAAUACUUUGAAACUAAUACUUGAUAGAUUAGAGUAAUUAAAAUAAUCGACCUUUAAAAAAAUACAUAUUAUUAACAACUCAAAUUCCCAUAUUCAAAUUAAUCACUAUAAUUAUACUUAUUUUUCAAAAUACUCACGAUAUAAUAAUAUAUCAUUAGAGAAUAUUCAAAAUUAUAAAAUAAAUAAAUAUAACAACAAUAUUUUAUAUUAAUUACUAAAUCAUAAUAAAUAUAUAUAUAAUCACAAUUCCAAAAUAAGUAUAUAAAAGUAAAUAAAAUCAAACACAAUAUUACUAUUAUUUCAAGAUGAUUAUUUAUAAAAUAAAUAUUUGAAAUAAGAUAUCUUUGGAAAUGAUUAAAUAUAAUUAAGUGCAUAUUUAAUAUUAACCAAACACACGAGGAAAUAUGAUAUUAAUUAUCAAAACUACAUAUACACGUAAAAUCACCUAAAUCUUAUUCUUUAAAAUAUUUACACUAAUAUACUCUUAUUUUUUAGAAAAAUAUAUAAAAUAAUAAAAAUAUAACAUUAUUAUUUACAUCACUCGUUUAGUCAAAUAUGUAUAAAAUUAGCAUAUUGUAGAAAACACACAUAUAACAAAAAUUAAUCCAAAAAUUUAUCAACAUAUAUUAUAAAAUAAUUUUAACAUCAAAUUAUUUAUUAAAAUUAUAUUUAAUUAAUAAAAUAGUUUAUUAUAAAUUUUGGGGUGUUACAGAAAUCUCUAUCAACAAUUCUAGCUGUUGAGAGAAACUAUAAGACUCGUAAUUUAUUUAUAGCAAGAAUUACAUUUUACUGUCUAUUUGUUCAUUUUGUUUUCUAUUUUUUAUCCGUAUACUGUUUAUAUUGUCUGUUUAUUUAUUUAUUAAAAUUUGUUGUAACUUUGUUGUAACUUUGUUUGGCUUGCAAAUUGAUCAAUGAAAAAUUGUUCGGGUGCUUUUCGUGAUGUUAAAUGAUGAUGUGAAUGUCUUGGCAUUGUCGAAAUUUCAAAAAUACGAUUUAUAAGAAAACAGGCAAGAUAUAUUUCGUAUUCAAAUUUUAGCGAACUCUGAAUGCCACAAAAAUUUAGCCGAAAGCUUUAUAUAUCAAUUGUAAUGAGAAUUUGAUCUCAUUAUAUUUUUCUAAACUAACGAACAAAAAUAUCAUCGGAUAAAAAGUUUUCGUGAAAUUUUGAAAAGUUUUAAUUAGUAGAUUUAUUAUAUAAUUUUUUUUUUACCAAGAAAUUUAUAUGUGAGCGUUAUGCGACUCGCUUAAGAACGAACUUAGAGAUUGAGCGAGAUAAGGUGACUUAAAGAUCACAAAAUAUCUAGAUAUUUUUCUAGGAUAUUAAUAUUUUAAUGAGGGGUUAGUGAAAAUAUUUAGAUAUUUUCUUACUUUGUAGUAAUACUUUGUAAGGAUCAAUAUGAGCCACCUCAAUGUCUCUUUUGUGUGUGGACUAGAAGGACUUGUGUAAGAAGAAUUAGAUAGGAAAUGAUGACUUAGUAAGAUGUUGGGAAAAUAUUUUUGGAAACCAGAUUAAAAUUGUUCAUCAGAGAAUAUUUUAAUUGAAUUACAUCGAAUUUUUAUCGACAAAUAUUUUAUGAACUCCAAGGACACUUGAACAUGGGCGAAUCUCCGUCCACUCACCUCUUUACUUUAUUUUUCAUCUUCUCCCUAUAAAAAAAUAAUUUAGUUUUCUCUCAAAUUUUGUGGCCACUCACCUCUUCACUUUAUUUUUCAUCUUCUCCCUAUGAAAAAAUAAUUUAGUUUUCUCUCAAAUUUUGUGUGUCGGUAAUUGGGACCAAAACCUAAACAACCAUUUUACUAGUAGAUCAAAAUUUUUUGGUCCAUUUGUUUAAGAUUUUAAAAAAGUGAUUUUUACUUUAUAUUAAAAAAAAUAUUUUUAUGAAAAUUUAUUUAAAAAUAGUAGAAGUUUUUUUAGAUUCAUUUGUUACUAAUUAAAAAAAGUAAUUUUGACAUUCAAUAACUUAGAUAUUCAUUAUUAAAGAUUUUAACAUUAUAAAAAAAUCAUUUUUUUUUAAAAAAAAAGUAACUUUCAAAAAUAAUUUUUAUGAAGAGCUUCUCAAAAUAGCUUUACAUUUUAAUCAUUUUUUGAAAUUUCAUUAUCUAAAAAAAAAGUUAUAGAAAAUAGAUGAAAUACUUAAAAUCAUAUUUUAAGAUAAACUAUUCAAACCAAUUUUUCAAUUGAAGCUUUAUUUUUUAAAAUGUUAUAACAAAAAUAAACUUUGAGUUUUUAUUUUUUAUUUUUUUUAAAUAUAGUUGGAGUUUUGAAAAUUUCUUUCGUUAAUGUUGUAGAUUUAUAAGUUGUGAUAAUAUAUCUAAAAUAAAGUUUUGAUUUUUAACAUUUAAGUUUUUUUCAAAAAAAUGAACCAUGUUAAAAUAUGGUUUUUCUUUUGUAAAUGUUGUAGAACUACUUGUAAUAGUAAAGAAUCUAAAAGAAAAUUUUGGUUUUAGAAACUUUUAGAGUUUUAAAAAAAUAAUUGAUUUUAUACUAAGAUGAUUUUUCCUACACAAAUAUGAUAGAUCCAUGAAUUUGUGAUAGUAGAUCUAAAGAAAAAAAAAUCAAACUUGGAACAAUUUGAAGUUUUGCUCAAAAAAUGAAUUUAGGUUGGAAAUUUUGAUCUUUAAGUGUUUGUGUUUUUUAUUGUUGAAAAUGUUCUAAAAUAUGUAUUUAGAAUUAGAAUAAUAUUAUUGAAAUAUAAAACUUGACAUAAAAUGAGACACAAAUACAAUAUUUUUAUAUUUUAUGAAAAAUAAAACAUGACCCCAUUGUAUUUUAUACAGUAUUCUAUUUAUGUCCCAUUUUAUGUUUUAAUAAUAUUACUCUCAGAACUAAGGAUAAAAUAAAUUUUUGAAGAGAGAUUUUUCCCCCUAACUAGUAAUGGUCGAACCUAAAUCUAGAAAUUAGAUUUUUUCCCUUCCUAACUAGAGAUUUUUACUCCCAGAACUAAAGUUGUGAUCUUAGUAUUAAAAAUGGUUGAAAAUCUAAAGAGUUUUUAUUUAAUGUGUUGUAGAAAAUUUUAGAAUUUUGAAAAUAUUAGUAAAAUUGAAGUUUUGGUGAAAGUGGAGCUUGUCUAUGACUACUUGAUUAGUUUUCUAAAAAGGAAUUUGAAAACCAUAUAAAUGUUUUAGAAAGCAAUGAAGACUAAAACGUUUAAGUAACUUGUGAUUUCAAAAGGAUAAAACCCUAAUUUGUUUAGGCUUUUUCUGAGUAAUUUUUAGAGGUAAUCAAGUUGGAAAUAUUUGGAAAGCUCAAAUCUUGAAGAAUUUUAAAGUGUUGAAAGAUUUAUGUGUGUGAUAAUUUGAAAAUAGUCAAUUUAUGUCAAAGGAUGAAAUUUUAAAGUCGUGUUCUUUGAGAAAAAUAUUUGUAAGAAGAGUUAUGUAGAGUUUUAUGUUGAUAAGGUAUUUUGUCAUAAGUUGUUAAAUACAAAGAUUUGAAUUGAACUUCAAUAAUUAUAAAAAAUAAUUUGGAAACUUUCGAAGUAUGACAUAAGUGUUUUGAAAAGGAUUUGAAAUUCAUUUUCGCCUAAGGGCCUAAACAAAAGUCUUUUUGAAGUUAGGGAACCUAAUUAGGUAAGAAAACCUAAGAGAAAGUUAAACCCUAAUUGAUUUAUAUAGUGGUCAACCCUUAAGAUCAUUUGGGGUGAUGUUUUAGAAACUUGUAUUGAUUAAGAUGAUUGAUUGAUUUAAGGUACAAGGAAAAUGAAAGAUGUUGUUGGAAUCAUCAAAUAAGUUAUGUUGGUGUAGCGUAAGUUGCUUGUGUAAUAAAGCAUCAUCAAGGUAAAAAUUCUUUCUAAUGAUAUUGUAUAUGCUUGAAUGCAGAGUGCGUCUGUAUACAUGUUCAUUGUGCUAGUGAUGAAUAAAUGUGCACAUGUGAUUGUUUACUAUGUUUAUGAAUUUUAUUGAUGAUAAAGUAUCUUAUGUAUGCUAUGUGAAAAAGUGUUGAAGAAUUAUUAGUGUUUAAUGAGUAUUAAAAAUAUAAUAUUUUAAUAGCUCCAUUUACAUAAUAAUUUAUGUGAAUGAUUCAGAGUAUGCUCAUGCAUUUUAUAGUUAGUGAUGACCAUGAUGAACCACGAGGUGGUAUCAAAUGAUUGGAUGGUCCACCUUAUUCCUACAAUGUUCAUUGAGGCGUUCUAGUAUGUGAGAAACUGCACUAUAGUAAAUUGUACUAGUCUAUGAGAGAUUGCACCUCAGUAAAUAAUAUUGGUAUGUGAGAGAUUGUACAUUAUUGAUUUACACCCCUCGACGAGGAUUUGAAAUUAUAGAAUCAUGUUCAUUGACACUAUGAUGAUACUGCACCUCGAGGAGGAUUUGAAAUUCUUGAAUCAUGUCACAUGAGUCAUGUUUGUUAUAUGAUGAUAUAUUUAUUUGCAAGCUUGUUUAUCAAUUGAUACUAUGCCAUGUUAAGUUUUUGUGCUUUGUAUUUUUGUAUAAAUGUUGUUUUUAGAUUGCGAUCAUCUAUUAUUAUUGUGCGGGAAUUGCAACGUCGUCGAAGACAUGACAAAACGAUGAUUUGGAUUGGCAAUUAGAAAUAAUGAGAUUUGAUGCCACAUGUGGGUUUUAUGUUUAGAGUUUCAAGAUUAGCUUAGGGUUUUAUUAAGAGCUUUGUUUAUUUUCUCUUCCUUUUUGAAAUGUUGUUAUUGCAAUGAAAAUUCUUUAUUUGAAACUAUUGUGACUUUUUUUUUGUUCAAUGUGAAAUGAUCGACCGUAAGUAAGUUAGUUGUGUCGAAAUCAUUUUAUAAAAUGCGGCAACCAUUCUAUUUGUCGCUUUAGGAUAAUAAUCUUGCAAUUAAAUAUUUUUUUCAUAUUUUAAAUUAAACAAAGAUUAUGAAUAUUUUAUCCAUAAGUGUUAGUUGCUUAAAAAAAAUUAUACUCUCGCUAUUAAAAUGAGAGUGUUAUAAGAAGCAUAAACACAUUUUAAAUGUAUCAAAAUCUCUUAUUUUCAUACUAACUUAUCACAAUACUUAUGUUGUUAGUCAUGAUAUGUUUUUAAUCAACAUGUAAAUAAAACAUCUUUUGAAUUAUUGUAUAAUGUUCCUCCUACUUUGAUAGGCUUAAAAUAUUUUGACAUCUUAUGUUUUGUUUAUAUUCUUAUAACAACAUAAAUAAGUUUUCCUUUAGGGCUAAUAAGUGUGUUUUUCUUGGUUUCAAACGUGGAACUAAAAAAUACAUUGUGAUUGAUUUGCACUUUAGGAAUAUUUCAAUUUCUUGAUCGGAUAUAUUUUCCGAAAAUAUUUUUCCUUAUUAUUCGUCUCAAAGUGUUUCUAAUUAUUCUACUAAUUGGUAAUGUUUUGAUUAUAAUUUUUGGUCACCGCCUAACUUGAUCAAUCAUCUUAUUCUUUUUCUUAUCCUAAUGUCGCAACUUGUAAAUCAAUUAAGAAACCUACCCAUUCUUCCCACAUAAUGUUUUCAUUACUAUCAUUUGACAAAACCUUUUAUUCAUGAUUCCUGAAUUACUUCCUUCCCUCUUUCUUCUUCUUCUUUUUUUUUUUUUAUAAGUUCAUUUGUGUUAUUGGAUUAACAUUUUCUUUCAACGAUGAGUCGAAUUGUUACACUCACGCAUCCAAAAUCCUUUAUUAGGGCAAUGAAUGAUGAACUUCAAGCCUUGCAUGAUAAUAAUACUUGAAUAAUCAUUCAACUUCUACGUGUCAAGAUUCCUAUAUGAUGGAAAUGGGUAUACAAAACCAAAUUUUAUUAUGAUAGUUCUAUAGAACGUUAAAUAGAGUUCCCAUUUGCCAAAGGUGUUAGAACCAGGAUGGUUUGGAGGAUAAGUUUCUUAUCUUGUUUUGAUGAUAACAAAAUGUUUUUUUAUGGAACAAUUUAAUGCACUAAUAAUUUAAUUUGAGUGUGCAAAAAAUAAGAUAUAAGAAAACCCAUAAAUAAGAGGAAACACGCAGGAUCAGAGGAAACAACUCAGAUCAGUGAAAUCUCAUCAAAUAAGAGGAAACACAUCCACCAAAGGAUAUCACCAGAGGAAAAGAAACAAUCAGAAGCAAACAUAUCAGAGGAAAAGAAACAAUCAAAAGCAAACAUAUCAAAGGAAAUAAAAUAAUCAUAAGCAAACAUAUCAGAGAAAAGGAACAACAUGUGCCCUUCACUGUGAUGUGCAUCAGAGGAAGCAAACAAAUUAAGAGGAAAUGGAAUAGAAAGACAUAUAAGAGGAAAUGAACAACACAUGUUCUUCGUUGUGUUGCGUAUCAGAUGAAGCAAGCAGACUAAGAGGAAAUGGAAUAAAAGGACGAAUUGAGGAAAUGAACAACAUGUGCCCUUCGCGGUCUCCAAAGGAAAUGCUUCUAAGGAUCUGCCUCUGUCUCUAAGUAUUUGAGUCUAAGGAUCUGCCUCUGCCUCUAAGUAUCUAAGUCUAAGGAUCUGCCUUUGCCUCAAAGGUUUCACCUAUGAAGAUAAGACUUUGAAGUCAAGUACAACAUGCUCCAAUAAGUUGCUUCCAACAAAGCAACAAAGGCAAGCAUCUGAUUCUGAUGUAUAAUGCUGACUUUGCCUAUAAUAAGUUGACUCUGGCCAGUAAUUCAACACCAGAAGAUUGUGUCUGAUUAUGAUGAAAAGGCAACCCAACAAGAAAAGUAAACAUAACAUGAAAAAGUCGAUAUCAUUUUUCAUGGUUAAAAAAGUCAACGACUCUAACUUUGAUCAAAGUCGUGACUUUAGAAGUUAACUUCGAAGACACACAUUCUACACACGACUCAUAAAUAUAAUCUAAUGAAGGUUCGCUGCCUCUAAUACUGAAGAUUCAAAUGUCCAAGCCGUUACCUUUGUCCACACUUAAAUGGAUUAAAGUGUCUAGUUAGUUACAUUCUUAAAUUGCACUGAAUUGAAUGUCUCCUCAAAUAGAAACAGACCAAUUCAAAUUCACGAGAAUAGAUCUAUGCAAUCAAAGAUAGAACAUCUUGAAAUCAAAGCAACAAUCAUUAGAAUUUGAAUGCAACGAGAAGAUUAAAGAAACCAUAAUUAAAUAAUUUGAACGUUGGAAGAAGAAGUUGGAAGAAGAAGUAAUUUGAACAGCUCAAACAAUUGACAUCUAUAAAUGGUUCUCACCACUUGAGGAACAAAAACACAACCAUAUGCAAUAAGACAACAAAGUUGAACACGACAACUACAACAACAAAUCACUUAGAAAUUAUUUAGCACUACAUUAUAUCAUUAUCUUUAUUGUGCUAAGUUUGUGAGUUUAAAUUUCAUAUGCUCUAAUUGAGAGAAACUCAAAAACAAAACACUUGUGUAACCUGCCUGAUAGUGGCUGUAUACCUUAACGACUUGUGGUUUUCAAGUUGGAUGUUGAGAAGACUUAACUUGUGAAGUUAAGUAGUUGUAAUUUAGUUUAAAUUACUGGAUUAAAUCAUUCUGGUGAAGAGACUGGACAUAGCUAUCAGAUUGAUAGUGAACUAGGAUAAAUUACUAUAUUAUCACUCUUCCCUCUGUUUACUGCCUUGUCUUUCCUUGUUUUAUUUUCACCCAUUAGUUAGCCCAAUUUUUUUUUAUUUUUUUAUAUAAAAAUCGAAUACACAAUUCAAACCCUCAUUUGUUAUGUAUUUUUCCACCUACAAAAGGCUACACACAAGUUGUAGGUGUAGAUUAUCAAGACACUUUCAACCAUAUUGACAACCUCACCACUAUCAGGUUGGUUCAUCUCAAUAUUGGUUCCUCCAUUGUAUAGACUGUAAGAUUUAUGGGUCACAUAUGUAAUUAAUUAAUAAAGUGUGUUAGGGUCAUUAUAUAAUUAGCCAAUAAACUUGGGGUCAAAUAAUAUAUAAUAGUUUAUGGCUAAAGAGCAUAAUAGUUAUGAAAAUUAAUAGUGUAGAUAUCAGACAGUUUCUAAUUUAAUGAGGGGCUGAAUUGGAAAUACUGCAAUUUGGGAUAUAACUAAUAAUAGUUAUAUAUAGGGGUAAUGGUCCCCAAGGCAAACACAACAAGAUUGUUCAGUCUCACAAACCCUAAAGGAGAAAACUCUCUGGUUCUCUCUAUCUCCAUCAAGAGAGCAAAGUCUUCAGGGUGUUUUGCUGAGGAAGAUCACCCAACCCAUUGGCUCUAUCAUCAUCAUAGCAGGAUUUCAUUAAUGGCAAUUCCCACAGGUACGCUUCCGCCUUUGGCUAUUCAUCAUGUAAUUGACAUGGAUUGUUGAGCACAACGUUAUUAGGGUUUUCCAACAAUUGGUAUCAGAGCCUACCAUGUUUAAUUCAUGAUGAAAUUCGGUUAUUGUCUUUGUUUAGGGUUUGUAAUUUGAGAAUUUUGAUAUAUAUAUUAUGGAAUCCAUAUUAUUUUGUUUCCGGUUAUAUUUUUUUUUUGUAAUGGUUUGAAGUUGAACACACUGUGAUUUUUAAAACCUAUUGUCGUUAAUAAUCUUUGCAUGAUACAAUGCGCUGACAUGAUCCCUAUUUGGUGUGGUGUGAUGGUUACACAUAUCCUUGGUGAUUAGUUGUUACUCUUUCUGUUUUGUUCCCUUUCGCAGACAAGAAUUUGCAAAUGCAGAAGGGCAAAUAUGUGUAUCUUGUGUUAUUAUAUUGAAUUCUGUUUUAGUUUUAUUAACAUUUGUUUGAACUCCGUUAGUGAAAGCGACAUGAUUUUAUUUUUUUUUUGAGAACCUUGUUAAUAAAUAUUGAUGAAACUUCGUGCCUUUUUUGCAUUAUUAUCCUCUAAUAAUGUACUUCAUAAGAGAAAUAAAUUACAUAUUAUUUUUGUUUAUACUAAUCAUCGAUUGAACUUCAAAUAUCUUCGAGUACUAACAUUAUGUACUGGCUGAGUACUAACAUUGCAAAAUGUUCUUCAGUACAAUUUUUAACGUGUUUGUUAUUUUAAUUUCAUGGCUAAAUUAAUUAGCUUAUCAUCCAAUUUUUUUUAUAAAACAAUAAUUAUCAAAUACUAAUAAAGUUUAUAUUAGUGAAAAAUAAUUUUUUUUAAUAUUUUUUUAUUUGGAUAUAAAUAUUUUUUAUUUUUAAUAUUGUUUUAUUUGGAUAUAAUAAAUAUAUGUUCAAGUCAAGUUUGACAUUUUUGAAUGAGUUAAUUGAAACUUGACGUCGCCAAAGUGACCUCUCUUGUCUAAAUUGCUCGUGAAGAGUGUCAAAUGGCUGUGUAUAUGUUUAUUCAUGCGGGUAUUGACCGGCCCAAAGGAAGGUUAAUAUUUGGCAGAAUUACUUGGUACACCUGAGAUGAUAAAUGUGUGACAAUUAUUUGGUAUACAUGUGAGCAGUAAAUCGGCCCAAAGAAAGGUUUAUUGUUUGACAUGUCUUAUUGUCAAUAUUUGAUCGUUGCAACAAAAGUACCACUAGCAGUUGGUGUUACUGUCCAAAGACUUGACAUCAAUGGUGCACUGGGUAUCUUGAGAUGGGUUAAAUUCCAUGAUUUGAACAUAUGUAUUUAUUUAUUUAUUGAUUUAUUUUCCUAUAAUGUGAGUUUCUAAGUUUCGUUCUUUAUUUAAUUUACAGCAUCGGUUGCUUCCAUAUCUGCAAAUUUGAGUUCUAUUCCUGUCCUUGAUGGGACAAAUUUUAAGGAAUGGAAAGAGAACAUUUUGAUUGUUCUUGGCUGCAUGGAUCUAGACCUUGCAUUAAGAAUUGAUCGACCCUCUACUCCUAAGGACUCUAGUUCUUCUGAAGAAAAAUUAGAGUAUGAGAAAUGGGAUCGCUCAAAUCGCAUAAGUCUUAUGAUCAUAAAGCGUGGGAUUCCUGAAGUCUUUAGAGGUGCUGUCCCGGAUGAGAUAGAUACAGCUAAAAAUUUCCUUGCUGAGAUGGAAAAACGCUUUGUAAAAAGUGAUAAGGCUGAAACAAGUUCUUUGCUUCAGAAUUUAAUUUCCAUGAAGUAUCAAGGCAAGGGAAAUAUAAGAGAGCACAUUAUGAUGAUGUCCAACAUUGCUUCUAAGCUUAAAGGUCUAAAGCUUGAGUUGUCAGAUGACUUACUCAUUCAUUUAGUAUUGCUGUCUCUUCCUUCGCAAUUCAGUCAGUUUAAGGUGACUUAUAAUUGUCAAAAGGAGAAAUGGACUCUUAAUGAGCUCAUUUCAUUAUGUGUGCAAGAAGAGGACAGGCUGAAGCAAGAUAGGACUGAAAGUGCUCACUUUACUAGCAUCUCUAAAGACAAGGGCAAAAGGAAAAGAAUUGAGGAGCCCAAGAACAAAGCUGCUGCUAAGGGUCCAGAACAAAAGAAGCAGACUAAGGAUAACAACUGCUUCUUCUGCAGGAGUUCUGGACACGUGAAGAAGGAUUGUGCCAAAUAUCACGCUUGGCGUGUUAAGAAAGGUAUGAUUCUGUCUUUGGUCUGUUCUGAGGUUAAUUUAGCUUCAGUACCUGGAAACACUUGGUGGUUAGACUCUGGUGCAACUACUAACAUCAGUGUUUCAAUGCAGGGUUGCCUGAACUUCCGAAAGCCUAGUGAUACUGAAAGAUGCAUCUAUGUAGGAGAUGGGAAGAAGGUAGAAGUUGAAGCCAUAGGAAAAUUUAGAUUAUUAUUAAGUUCCGGUCAUUAUUUGGAUUUAAAAGACACUUUUGUUGUACCGUCAUUUAGACGGAAUUUGAUCUCUAUUUCUUAUUUGGACAAAUCAGGAUAUUAUUGUUCAUUCGGGAAUAAAGAAUUUACUUUGUCUUUAAAUUCGAAUGUUGUUGGAACCGGUUUACUUUCUGGUUAUGAUAAUCUUUAUUUGUUGGAAACUGUGGCUAACUAUAAUGAAACCUUGAAUGUGGAAUCACGUGGUACUAAGCGGAAAAUUGACAAUUUCAAUUCAGGAGUGCUUUGGCACAAACGUCUAGGUCACAUCUCUAAAAAUAGAGUUGAACGACUUGUGUCAGAUGGAAUUUUAGAUUCCAUUGACUUCACAGACCUUAACGUUUGUGUAGCAUGCAUUAAAGGAAAACAGACUAAAGAUAAGAAAUUAGGCGCAUAUAGAGCUACAGACGUCUUAGAAUUGAUACAUACGGACAUCUGUGGGCCAUUUCCAACUCCUUCUUGGAAUGGUCAACAAUAUUUUAUAUCAUUCAUAGACGAUUACUCUAGAUAUGCCUACCUUUACCUAAUUCACGAAAAGUCCCAAUCAAUAGACGUGUUCAAAUCCUUUAAGGCAGAAGUUGAGAAUCAACUUAAUAAAAGAAUUAAAAAGGUCAAAUCUGAUCGUGGUGGUGAAUACUACGGCAGAUAUGACGGUUCAGGUGAACAACGUCCGGGACCAUUUGCCAAAUACCUAGAGGAAUGUGGAAUCGUCCCACAAUACACUAUGCCGGGGUCACCCAGCAUGAAUGGUGUAGCUGAAAGACGAAACAGGACUCUUAAGGAUAUGGUAAGGAGUAUGAUUUGUCAUUCCACCUUGCCAGAGUCACUCUGGGGAGAGGCAUUAAAAACAGCAGCAUACAUUCUUAAUAGAGUACCAACUAAGGCAGCGGCUAAAACACCUUAUGAGCUUUGGAUUGGGCAGUUGUUAAAGAGAAGGUACAAAGUGGACAGAUAUCCAUAGAACACUUAAGGACAAACUCCAUGAUUGCGGAUCCACUCACUAAAGGUCUACCACCCAAGGUCUUUCAUGAGCAUACUGCUCACAUGGGUGUGCUACAGUUUGAGGAAUCUUGAUUUUAGUGGGAGUUUCGUCCAUUAUGUAAUUCAUGUUCUAUGUUUAAUUGUAAAGUACAAAUACAUUGUAUUUGGACUUUCUGAUCAGAAAUAAAGUUUAAAGUAUUCAGUUUUUGGUUACUUUGUACAUUUAAGUUAUGGUAUGAUCUCAUUCGAUAAAGUAGGACCAGUUGAAAAUUGACAUGCAUUGACCAACUUCAUGUAAUUUUCAUGCUACACUUUUCAUAAUGGGUCUAUGUCAUUUAGUUGUGUCAGUACGGGUGAUCAUUGAUGGGUUUAGUUAUGCUUAUUAUGACGAAAGCCUCUUUGGUUCCAUGUGCUGAUAUGAUUAAUGGACGGGAAAAUUUGGAUUAUACUCAAGGUAAUAAUUAUAAUGACAUUUUUGACGUCAUAAAGUCUAACACACUCUUAAGGAUACAUGUGUGACCAGUGGGAGAUUGUAAGAUUUAUGGGUCACAUAUGUAAUUAAUUAAUAAAGUGUGUUAGGGUCAUUAUAUAAUUAGCCAAUUAACUAGGGGUCAAAUAAUAUAUAAUGGUUGCUCCAUUGUAUAGACGCCAACAAUGCAUUUCUACAUGAUGAUUUAGAAGAAGAUUUGUAGAUAUCCUUUUCACCUAGCGUGAAAUGUUCAUCUCCUAAUCAAGUUUUAAAGUUAGCAAAACCCUUUAUGAUCUCAAACAAUCCAACCGUCAAAUGAUUUUUCAAAAUGUCCAAUUUUCUCAUGACUCGUGAUUAUUCUUAAAUUCGAAGGGAUCGCUCUCUCUUCAUAAAUUCUUCUGCCAAGUCAUUAUGUUGAUGACUUAAUGUUAGCUAGAAAUGACAUGGCUAAAAUCAUGGCUGCAAAAGUUCAUAUAGACCAAACUUUCUACAUCGAGACCUUAGUGACUUCAAAUAUUUUUUGGGCAUAAAUAUGCUCUAGAUUUAAUUUCAUAUGCACAUCUUUUUGUCUCUACGCCAUGGUCAAUAACUCUACUCCUACAACACAUAGUGAUCAUUUCAAGAUAUUUAAGCAUAUUGUUUUCUCAUUGGUCGUUUAUUCUACUUAACUACAACGAUAUAUACCUAACAUUUUCAUUGUUGUGCAACAACUCAGCCAACAUAACUGCUCCUUUGAAUUCUCAUUAAGUUGCUAUAUAAGUUCAUAUAGAUCAAACUUUCUACAUCUAAAACUUUGGUUACUUGAAAUAUUAUUUUGGAAGUUAUUCGCUCUAAAAAGGCAUCAUACUAAAUCAAUGUAAAUAUGCUCUAUAUACAAAAUCCUUCAAUCAAUAAAGAUUAUCAAUUAUGUCUUUAUUUAUCUUUUUCUUAUACUCUCUAAGAAUGUACUGUCCUCCUCUCCAAACUGAAUGAAAAAAUUAGUUUAUUGCAUCCUUAGUCAUUCAACUUUAUAUAUUUAUAUAUGACUCAUAAAAAAAGUUUAUUCUAUAAACAAUAAAAAAUUGUAUUAAAGAAAGACAAGUUUUUGUUUGUUUUGGUAGGGGUUGGUGAGAAAAUGAAAAGAGGUCAAAUGUAAGACUGGAUUACUUGAAUAAUGAAAAUGUAUGAGAAAAGGGUAAUUGUGGAAUUUUGAGUUUAAUUAAUUGUAAAUUAAUACAUUGUGAACGUGGCACCACGUUUGGGAGUGAUCAUAUGUACAAUGUAUUACAUACGUAUUUAAAAGUUUCUAUCAUCUUUUCCACACAUAUUAAAAAAUAGUUAAUAAAUUUAAUUUGUCUAUUUUAUGUGUAAAUGUUUCUAAAAAUAUUUUUUAUAUGUAUGACUGUAUUUAAUUUAAUUUUUUAUUUUCUAAAAUAAAUUAUAAAUAAAUAAAGGAGAUAUGUUCGAAAAAAAAUAAAGUUUAAAUAUGUCUUUGUUCUUUACAAUUAUAAUUUUUUUGAUUUUAGUUUUUGUAAUUUUUUUAUUUAGUUCUUAUCCUUACAAAUAUAAUGUCAUUUUAGGAUAGUCUUUCCAUCUAAUUUCUGUCACAAAAAUUAUAAUACCGUUAAACUUAAGUAUAAUUAAAAGAUUACUUUUUUUAACCCUAAAAUUAAUCUUCAAUAUAAUUAAAUUAUAACAUUUUUUACCUAAAAUAAACUCCCAAUAUAAUUAAAUUAUAACAUUUUUUAACCUAUAGUAAAUUCCAAGUGUUUCAUUCUUCUUUCAUAAAAAAAUCCUAAAAUUAAAAAUUUUAAAAUGGUUUCUUCUGAAAUUAUUGGUUCAAGUUUAGAGCAUCAACACUUACAUGUUAAUUACAAGAUAAUAAUUUGUAUUAUAUUAUCAAAGAUAGAGAUGAUAUUAAGAUAUUAUCGGUGAGUUUCUUUUGAAAUUGUUGGUUCAACAUUUUUUUUUAGUUUUUAUCUUCUAUAAUAAUCAUCUCAAGGUGAAACCCGCUUUAGAAAUUUCUUGGUUAACUAAAUUUUUCAAUUUAUUGAUCAGAUUUUUGGUGGAACUAGAACUAGAUUCUUCCACAAAAUUUUUGAAUUUUUUAACUUAAAAUAAAUGAAAUAUGAAUUUUUUAAAUGUCAUAAACUCAAGAUAAAUGUAACGAUAAUAUAUAUUUAUAAUUUGUAUUUCAACUUAUUUUUUUAUGGAAAAACUUCUCAUAAUAUUGUAAUUGCAAAAUAAUUCAAAAAUAUAUAUUAAAGUUUCAGUAGGUGCAAAAAUUGUUUGCAUAGUAAUUUUUUAGUGACUAAAUGUAAUUUGAUUAGAUAGGAACUAACUUUUUUUUAAUAAAAAGAAUACAUUUUUAUUUAGCUCUUUUUUAAAUCUAAUUUUAUUUUUGUUCUAUAGUUCAAAUAUUAUUAUCCUUUCAAGUCAACAGAAUCGUUAGAGAGAAUCCAUUCAUACUAAACACAUAGUGCCUCGAUCAAUGUACAUUUUUUUCUUAAAAGGUCAGUAUAAUUAAGGUCUCUGCAAUUUAUUAAUUAACUCAAAUUUUGAUUUUUAUAUAUUUUUUCAGAAAUAAAAUGUAAGUAAAAUUAGUUCAUAAUUUUUCAAAUAAAAGAUAAACAAAAUUUUAAUAAACUACCCUUAAUUUAAUAUAUAUAAUCCAGUUUAUUAAUUAUUGAGUGUUAUUUAAACAAUAGACUUAACUUUUUAUUGAAAUUAUAUAUAUUAAAUUAUGAUCAAUAAUAUCUUUUAAUAUGCAUAAAUUAUCAAUAUUUAUUUAUAAUUCCUUUUAGAUUAAUUAUUUUGGAUAUAAUAAUGAGGCUAAAUUCUACUCAAAUGUUUAGAUAGUAUAUUGAAAUUCUCUGCCUCCUCAAGUUGAUGAAUAUAUUUUGUGGGAACCAAAUUGCGGAUCUCAUCGACAAAAUUCAUUAUAUUGUUCAGCCACAAUUGUUGAGUACUUGGUGUAGUAUAAAUACCUUUUUAAUUUAAUAUAAUUUUAUACAGCAAUACAUAAAUUUUUUAAAGGUUAACAUGUCUUUUUGGCAUUAAAAAACCUUUUUUAAUUUUUUUUAUUUAUUUACUUUUUUCUCUUUCUUACUAAUUGAUAUUUAUUUCACUUCUUUCAUUCUUUCAUUCUCUUAUUUUGUAUUUUUAUUUUUUCACGUUAUAUUUUUUAUCCUUUUUUAUUCAAUUUUUAUUAUUUUAUUUUUUCAUUUCCAAUUUUUUUUCUCUCUCUUUUUUAAUUUCUCAUUUGGAAUUAAGAUGUACACUAUAAAUAAAUGUAUUGUAUAUAAAAAAAAUACAUAUGGCAUUAUAAUUUAUAAUCACUCAUUAAUUACAUUUUAAUAAUUUAAAAAUAUUUCAACAAAAAAAAUCGUCUAGUCUAAUUUUAUUGUCUGACAUAUUCUAUUGGAUUAUUAUAAUAUGCAUUUCAAAAUUCAAACACAUCAUACAAAAAAAAGAAAAAAAAUUUAAAUACAACAUCAAGCUUAUAUGAGUAUAUAAAAAAGAAAAUUUGAUAUUGUGCAGUAAACCAAUUAAUUGUAAAUAGAUCCUUUGAUAACAAUAAUUUGUUAUUGUGCAUUAAACCAAUUAAUUAUUAUCAAAUACUAUAUUGAUAUUGAUUGUAUAUUCAAAAUUUGAAUUAAGGAUUUAAAUUGAUAUAUCAGCAUAUUCUUUUCUUUGCAUUUACAAUUAUUUAAAUUGGUCUUCAAAAUAUCAUUCAAUCACCUAUGAUUAAUAAUUAUCUUCAUUCUUCUUCAAUCACCUACAAUCAAGUAUUUUUCUUAAUAUCAUAUCUCAUCCAUUCAAUUGUCUUUGUUAUAGAAUAUAAUAAUGGCUACAUUCGACUUUUCAAAUCAACCAAACAAAAACAAUUCCUAUAUUUUUUAUGCUAUAAAAAUUCGUAUAUAUAAUAGUAUUAAUAUUUAUCAAUUACAAAUUACAACUUCAAAAAUUCAGUUUUGUAUCUCACUACUUGUUUUGGACAAACUUUGCAUCUCUUUUCUAAAAUAUCAAACAUUGUGAUUUUUUUAAAACCAAUAUAGGAUAUUAAUUAUUCUAUUUUGAUAUGCAUUGUAAAAACAUAUUUGAUAUGAAAAAUGUAAUUUUUCAAUUUAAUUGCUCCAAUUACAACUCACAGCUGUCAAACUUUUGAAGAAUGGGGCAAGAUAAACCUCAACUGCCACUGCCACUUAUCGAAUCAACUCUUCAAAGAUCAGAAGCUUUUUGGGUAAAUUUAACUAUACAACAUUCUUCGGUUUUAUGGAACAUUUUCAUUUUAAGACAUGUUUAUUGGUUUAUCAGUAUACUGGUUUUUGUCAUUUUUUUUUUGAUAUAUUUUAUUUAGGUGAGUGAUAUAAUAUUCAUUUUUGAACAUUUAGUAUGUGCUUUAAAAUUUUGUUUUUGGUUUUUCAUGUUAAUAUUUUUCUUCUUUGCAAAUAAACUUUAUCAAGGUGAGUUGGAUGUAUUACCCGAACACUUUCCAAAUUGUAUAUUACUUGAACACUUAAAAAUCAAGGUUGGAUGUUUUAGAUCGAACAACAAUCAAAUAGGAGAAAUUUCAUAAACACCGACAAUAUUUUAGCAGUUUAAUAAUUUUAAAAGUAAUUUUAUUUUGCAUAUAUUUUCAUUAAGAUUGAUAGGAAAUUAGUUUAAAAUAUAUUAUUUUAUUAUGUAUAAUAACUACUAGCAAUUUAUAAAGUGAUAAGUGGACGAAACAUGUAAGGAGUGUUACUAGGUCUUCAUAGUAUGCUAACAAAAAUGUUUUGGUCCAUAUUGACUUAAUGUAUAUUUGGUAGUCGUCAUAAGGAUGAUUUUAUUAUAAUUCAAUUAUUAUGUUCCAUCAGUCAAUACUUAUUAGAUUUGUUAAUAUGUAUUUAUAAAAUUCGGUUCACAUAUUACAAUGAUAUAAAUAACGGUAAAAAUGUUCCAUGAUACUCUUACAAUUUUUUACUAUUUCUUUUUUUGGUUUGACAUUACGAGUUACGUAAAUGUUGCAACUAAUGUUAUUUUGCAACGAAAUGAAUUAUCCUAAGUCUACCUAACAUGAGAGAAAUAUCUGAUCCAAAUGAAACUAAAUGAAUAAAGGUUAUAUGAAAAAUAUAAUUUGGUGUUAAAUGAAAAAUCACGUUGUAAAGAAAAAAAAUAUUGAAAAUAUAUAAUCAUAUAUACACUUUAGCAUUAAGCAAGUUGAAGGGUAAGAUUACGUUAUACAUAAAUAGUUAAUAUACAAAUAAUCAUAUGUCCUAGAUAGAGGAGUCAUAGAAAUAUAUAUUUUUAAUCAUUUUUUAUGAAAAACAUAAAUUAGACCAAAGGAGGAGAGAUGAUAUAAAUCUAAGUCGUUGCAGAUGUAUGAGAAAUCACAAUUGGUGUAUUUUUUUUUUCAUCAUCAAUUUCUUAUUUUUGUUUCUGAGAGUUUUUAUUUUAUAAUCAUACUUUAGAUACGAAAUAUACACCAUUAUUUAGCAAUGUUAAUCUCAUUUUUCAACUGAAUUUUCUUAACACACGACUCAUGGAUUGAACCAUAAUCACUUGCAUAAGGAUCCUGAGUCCCUUAUCACUCGGAUCGACUCAUUAUUCCGAGAGAGAAUUAAAAAAAAUCGCGUGUCUAACCAUGUUCAAAUUUCAUUGAAUCAGUAUCUCCUCCUUUUAAUUAGCUAUAUAUCAAAUUAUCUAUACAUUACUCUAUACUUAUACUCGACCACACAUAUUGAUUUACAACCCUUCCAAAUUAUGAAAUAAGAAAUUUUCACAAUAAUAUGUUGUUGAUUUCACAAUGCACUUAUUUGAAUUAUUGUAAUUUGAUGUUUGCAACGAUCUCUUAAUCAAUUUGGCACAAGCUACAUACUAGAAAAUAUAUACCUGUCACAACCAUAAUUUGCGAUGAUUUAUAUGUAGUUGUUUGAACAAAAUGAUUUACUCAAAUAGAUAGAUGUUUAAUGAACAUCGUAUUUGAUUGAUUAGAUUUUUGGAUUUGUGUCUCUUUUCCUAGGUCAAAAAAUAUAUCUCAUAUUUUAUACUCGGACAUUACAUACUUUGAUAUUUUGUUUUGGACCUAUUAGUUUUUCAAACUUGGUAAUUACCAAAUAAAUUAUAGGUUAUGCUUAUUAGGAUGCUAUUUUUAGUCCAAUUGUAAGAUGCACUUAAAAAACUGUAUGAAUAGUUAUAAUCAUAAAUUAAAUUUUCAAAUUUAGGCUAUAGUUCCGUAUUCAUUAUUUCCCUUUUUUAGAUAAAAUUAUGGAUCACUCUCUAUUUGAAUAUAAAAUUACAAAUACUAUGUAUGAUAUUUAAUCAAAUAUUAUUUUAUGAACAUGUUAUCUAAUCACACUAUACAUGUAAUAUUAAAAUAUAAUUAAUCUCAAUGACUAUGUUAUAAUAUGAUCACAAAAUUUGCGUAAGAAAUUAAAUUUAUCAAAAAUCACAUUUUAAAAAAUUCCAACAAUUUUUUUAUAGAAAAUAACAUAACAUGUGUUUGACAAUUUAUAUUUAUCAAUAAAUUUAAUUUACCUAUGAUAAUGUAUUUGUUUAUAUUCAACUAUCUUAUAGUAAUGUAUAAUAUAUAAAAUAUGAUAUUAUUAUAUUUUUUCAAUAUCUCAACCUCUCUUCAUAUUUUCUCAAUAUCAUUCAAAUUUAAAAUACAAAAUAGAUAGAAUAUAGUUUUUCCCCGUAAAAACUGCAUGUUUUCACUAUCCUCUUUACCCAUGUCAGUUAAAAACUAAUCCAACUAGAAAAUAGGUAAUAUGUAACUGUAAAUGAUUUUGAUAUUUCUGAUGAUCUAACUUGUAAACUGUCCAAAUGAGUUAAUUGCACUUAAUCCACCAAACUAAUUCUUGCGAGUUUAUGAAAUCUCCAAUGGUUUCAUAAUAUUUUAAGGUUAUUAAGCAUUUACACUUUCGGGGAAAACAAUAUGGCAUGACUAAAAAAAACUUAUUCUUUUAAAUUGGUAAAAAUUACAUCAAUCGAGAAAAAUACAAUUUUAAGUCGUAAAAUUAAAGUGUCAAAAAUACAAAUGUUUCUAAAGCUGUAGUAUUUUAGAUGCCAAAGCCAUUGAUUGAAUGCACUGAAUCGAAGUUGAUUUGUCAAUCUGAACCAAACGAACACCAAUGUUAAGACAAACUCUCAAUUUAAGUUUUGAUGAAAAUAAACAAAGGUUAAUUAAGAAUGUUAAUUAUGAUUCUAAAUGUUAUGUUAAUUUUACUUGUAUUUUUGAGUGGAUUAAUUCAAAGAUAGGACUCAAGCAAAGCAAAGAAAUCAACAACAAAAGAUAAAAAUUGAACAGUUAAAAAAGGAGAACAUUAUGGACAAAACAUGUAAAAACGAAGAAUGUUCUCCAGGACCAAGACUGAUCAUAACAGCUCCAAGGUCAAUCAAUCUCCAAUAGUUAAAAGAAGUUUUAGCCUCUGGAUUUUACAUUAAUAUCACCAGCAUUUGACAAUGAACAAACUGAGAUGAUCAUAUCCAAAGAAACUAAUAGAAUCACAAAGAGAGAAGAUAACAAAUUAGCAAGACCAAACAGAUAUGAACCUUCUCCAGCUUAAACUGUCAAGAAAAAUAAACGAUCUUGAAAGGUACAAGACAUCCAAAUUAAUCAGGAAGACAUCCAUAAUGAUCGAGACUGAACCACCAGAUUGAUUAUCAAUCUCUAGCAAGUUCAAAGACUAGGACUCCAGAUUGAUCAUCAAUCUCCAGAAUUUUCAUUAAACAUUCUACAAAAGUUCAUCAUCAUUCUCCAAGAUAUUUUGACAGAAUCAAAACUCCAUAUCAAAGCAAUGACAUCAACAAAUAUAUCUAAAGUAAAAGGAUUAUUAAACACAAGAGAAAUCUGAUCAAGAACGAAGAAAUCAGUCCUGUCAAACAGAUUUCAAAAAGCGUUCAAAGGCUGGAAUAUAUUUAUUCAUAUAUAUCGAUUUUGGUCAAAGCUAACAUAGCACUACCAAAAGCUCUUUUGACCAUUAUUAAUUGCUCUAAAACGCCUAUAAAAGGGAAAUAUCAGAAUUUCAAGUGCUAACAAGUCUCAAAAAAUCACUCACACAUUCACAUACUUGAAACUCUCAUCGUUCAAAGAAGAAUCAGUCUGAUCACUUUUCAUUACUCUGUUACUAUUGUACCGAAUUCUUUGUAAAGAAUCGAAUCUCAAACAAGAGUUGAGACAUCUCAGAUUUUAUCAAAAUAAUCUCAUCAUUAUUGUAAAACUCGAACUAUAAGAGUUUAGCAUAGUUUGGAUAGAUUGCAAGAAAUCCUAUCAAUGUUGAUAGGUGAACCAAUUAAAUCUCUUUGUGGAUGGAAAGGAUUGAAGUUUGUAAUAGAUCAAGGUUGAUAUAAGCUAGGUAUUAUAAAACCAAGAAGGUUCUUUGUUUGCACUUAGUGGAAAAUCUCACAGUUGUGGGACUGGACGUAGCCUAAGUUGGGUGAACUAGGAUACAUCGGUGUGUGGUAUUCUUUCUCUUAUCUCUUUAUUUAUCAAGUCUGAUUAAUCACUUAAGUUAAAAACAUAAACUGAAUUUCUGAUUUUAAGCUAACCAAGAACGUUCUACAUUUUCUGGUAAAAACCAAUAAUGUUCUCCAUUUUCAGUUUUCUUAAAUCAAGAUCAUUAUUGAGUUGAAUUUUUAAGUAUUUUUAGGAAAUUUGAGUUGGAAGAACUAAUUGGAACCUUAAGAGCACAUGAAGUAUUGCUGCAAGAAGACAAACCAGUCAAGAAAGGAAAGACAAUAGCUCUAAAGGCAUCUAAAGAUAGUGUAGCAGUAUAAACAGAGGAGGAACCAGAAGAAACUAGACAAGAAGAUGCUGAUGAAGAAAUUGCUCUUCUCACCAGAAGGAUACAUAGAAUGAUGAGAAAAAGAGACCAAAUCAAAAAGGGAUUUCAAAACAAAAAUCCCAAAACAGAAGUGGACAAGAGCAAAAUCAUAUGCUUUGGAUGUAAUAAAUUAGGACAUUACAAAGCAUAAUGUCCCUUAAAUAAAAAGCCACCAAAACGAUUUCCUUCCAAAAAGAAAUCAAUGAUGGCCACGUGGGAUGAUUAUGAAGAAUCGGAUACAGAAGAAGGUGAGGAAGCCAACAUAUGCUUGAUGGAAAAUAUAGAAGAAGAUGAGGUAACAAAUUAUGAAUCUUGCUAUUUAUGUGAACAAAUAGGAAAAGAAUUUGAUAACUUGCUAAACAAUUCAAACCUUCUUAUUCAAAAAUGAAUUUCUUUAAAAGAACAAUUUCAUAAAGAGAAAGAAGAAAAAGUAAAAGCUCAGGAUAUAAAUAAUGUCCUCAAAAACAUCAUUCAAGAACUAAAAGAAACACAACAACAAAAUUUUGAAAGUCAAAGAGGUCAAGAACGUUCUGUAGCUAAAACGGAGAACGUUCUCCUUAAAACUAAAAAUGAACUUCUUAAAAAAGACUUGUCAAAUUUUAUUAAAGUCACUGAAAUAUUUCAAAAAAUCAUGGGAUCUCAAGUAAGAAUCUUUGAUAAAGCUGGUUUUGUUUUAAUCAAACUCAAAAAACAAAAAUAUAUGAAAUCUUUUUUGUGCUAGAAAGAAAUGAAGAAAAAUGUAAAACUAAAUGCUCAUAUUGUAAAAAAACUUGGACUUCUGGAAUUUGCUUGCUACUUUAAGAAAAAAGAUGAAAAUCAAAAGGCUUUUUAAAGGGAAAUAUCAUUCUGCAAAUAAAGUUGAACUAAUUUUGAAAAAUCUGCAGAAAGGAGAACGUUCUCCAGACUGUUUUCAAAAUGGAGAACGUUCUGAAACAAAAGCAGAACUUUCUCCAGAAAAUCUAACAAAAGGAGAACAAUCUGGAACUUCUUCAAAACCAAGAUUAAAACCUUUUAAAACCCAGAUUACAAAGUCAAUUCCAAGAUCAACAAUUAAAUGCUCCUACUGUCUCAAAAUUGGUCAUCAAGAAUCAAUUUUCUAUCUUAAGAGGAAAUAAAAUUUUAAAACUAACUCUCAAGGACCCAAGACAAAAUGGGUACCUAAGGUUGAUAUAAUAUCUUAUGCAUAUUAGAUUUCCAAAUGUCAAGUGAAAGCCUUGGUUCUUGGAUCGUGGCUAUUCAAGACACAUGACAUGAGAUAAAAACUGCUUCAUGUCAUUCAUCAAGAAAGAUGGAGGAUCAGUUACUUUUUGAAACAACAAUCAAACACAUAUUAAAGGUAAAUGAACUAUUGGUAAGGCAAACUCUGCUCAAAUAACUGAUGUCCAAUAUGUUGAAGGUUUGAAACACAAUCUUCUAAGCAUAAGUCAGUUAUGUGACAAUGGUUUUGAAAUUAUCUUCAAACCAAGAGUAUGUGAAGUCAAAAAAACUGAAACUGGAGAAAUCAUCUUUUCUGGAAAUAGAAAGAAAAAUGUAUAUGUUCUAUAUCUUGAAGAACUACCUAAUGAAUCAUGUUUUAUGUCAAUCGAUAAAGAUAAAUGGAUAUGGCAUAAAAGGACUGGACAUAUAAGUAUGAAAACAAUUUCAAAAAUAGAUCUUGUUAGAGGAUUAUCCAAACUUAAUUUUGAUAAAGAUAAAAUAUGUGAAGUCUGCACAGAAGGAAAGCAAGUCAAAAGCAGUUUUCAUUCAAAAGAUUUUGUAAGUACAAACAGAACUCUUGAAUUGCUUCACAUGGAUCUUUUUGGGCCAAUUAAUACAACAAGUCUAGGUGGAAUGAAAUAUGGUUUCGUUAUUGUUGACGAUUUUUCAAGAUACACUCGGGUAUUAUUUUUAAAACAAAAAGAUGAUGCAUUCGAUGCAUUUAAAACUUUUUGCAAAAAGGUACAAAAUGAAAAAGAAUCCAACAUCAUUUCUUUAAGAAGUGAUCAUGGAGGAGAAUUUAUAAAUGCCUCUUUUAAAACCUUCUUUGAUGAACUUGACAUUUCUCAUAAUCUAUAAUGUGUAAGAACUCCACAAAAAAAUGGAGUUGUUGAACGAAAGAAUAGAACACUACAAGAAAUGGAAAGAACAAUCUUGGAAGAAUCUAAUGUUGAAAGAUAUUUCUGGACUGAAGCUAUUAACACUUCUUGUUACAUUUUAAACCGUGUAUCCAUAAGAAAAAUUAUCAACAAAACCCAUAUGAAAUUUGAAAAAAUAGGAAACCAAACGUUUCUUAUUUUCACAUUUUUGGAUGUUAUUAUUAUAUUUUAAACAACAAAGAUGUUCUUGAAAAGUUUGAUGCAAAAUCAUACAAAAUACUCUUUUUAGGUUAUUCAACCGAUUCUAAGGGCUAUAAAGUGUUUAAUCUAAGGACUAAAGUUGUAGAAAUCAGUAUGUGUAUAUUAUUUGAUAAGUUUUAGGAUUUGGAUUUAACUAAAAAAGAUGAGGAAGAAGAAGUUCAAUAUGGCCUGCAACAACAGAACAAUUUGCAGGAAACAGAGAUUGAUAAACAAUCUCCGUUUCAUUCUCCAUCAAAAAGCUGGAGAACAAUUGAAGAUCAUCCUCAAACAUAAAUCAUUGGAGAAACAGCUGAUGGGAUUCGAACAAGAAAAUCAUUCAAGAAGGAUGAAAACAACAUGGCAAUGAUAAUUCAAAUUGAACCAAAAUCAAUUUCUUUUUCUUUCUAUAACUUCUUCAAAAAAUUUUAACGUUUUCAAUUUUUUCAUCUACUAUCUAUUAUUGUAUAUCUAUUGAAACUAAUGUCUUUUUCUCAUCAUCCAACGACCAAUAUUUCUGAAAUUGGAACAAGUGAGCAAUUUCAAUCUCCAAUCCUCCUAGAAUUCGAGCUAUAGUUUUCUCCUCUCUUUCUUGGAUAUCGCAUUUCAUUAACUCCAAUAUGGUUAACAUAAAUAACCUAAUUUUAUAACCGAACAAAAAAUUUCAACAAAUUAUAAACAAACUUUUGGAGUUUUUAUUUUAUAUAUAUAAAUCAAGAACAUAGUAGAUGUACCAUUCUUUUUCUCCUUCCACUAUUUAUUGAAAAUAAACAAUAACUCUGUAUACUCUUUCUAUCCUUAAAUAUAAACAACUUUGAAUUAAAUUAAUUUAAAAUUGUUUAUAUUUAAAGUCGGAGAGAGUUUUUAUUUGUACACCACUAAAUAAAAACACAAAUACAUACAUAAACUCACACACAAACUUCACCACCCCACACCAAUUACAAUAUUAUUCAUUCUGGAACACAAAUGGGAGGGCAUCACCAUCAAGGGCCAACAAAAUCUUUCCAUUCUCACGAAAAAUCCCAACAGUGCCACAUAUAAAAUCACAAGUAGGGCAAACCUCUUUAGGACACCAUUGAAUAUUAUAGAUACCUACAGUUUGAGUUUGUACAAUCCUAAAGAAGUUACCAAAUGAUCCAAUUGUACUAUCAUCUCUUCCUGUGAUAAUCAACCUUCUUCCACUCUUUGCAUCCCUCUCACCCAAUCUCCAUUCUGUAGACCGACCACAAUUUGAGGAAUCUUCAUCAAAUGAUAUUCUCAAAUCCCUAUUAAGCCUCACAAAAUCAUCAUCAUUAUGGGGAGCAAAAGGAGUGAAUUUCACGUCCAAACCAUUUCGCGAGUUAGUGUUCUCGACACCAACAUUGAAAGGACAUGAUCCAUCUCUGGUGACCAAAGUGGAACGUCCUCCGUUGCCUGCAGUAGCAGGCACAAUGAAGUAUUCCUCAUCGAUCUCAACGGGUUCGCCGCCGGUAUCGAUGAUGAACUGGGCUAUUGAUGUUGUGGCCAUCAAAAGCCAUAUAUGAGCAAGAGUGAAUAUGGUGAGGGAUCUAGUUGACAUGAUUAUUAAUUAAUUAAUUAGUUACUUUAUUACCUUAAUUGCUCACUUAAUUGCACUCAAAGGCUAGAUGUGUUUUAGCUGUUGGUUAAGAGGCAACGUAUUUAUAGGACUGAUCAUCAUACCAUGCAAUGCAUAUAAUACUCAUGAAAGAAUGAAUGAAUGGACACAAAAGUUCAAUUAAUUAAUUACACGAGUGAAUUAUUUAUUAAUAUAUAGUUUGCUUUGUAAUUGCGAUUUGGACAAAAUAAUGAAUCUUUCAAGCGGAUGUGGAUAAUUUAUCAUUGUUUACAUCGUNNNNNNNNNNNNNNNNNNNNNNNNNNNNNNNNNNNNNNNNNNNNNNNNNNNNNNNNNNNNNNNNNNNNNNNNNNNNNNNNNNNNNNNNNNNNNNNNNNNNNNNNNNNNNNNNNNNNNNNNNNNNNNNNNNNNNNNNNNNNNNNNNNNNNNNNNNNNNNNNNNNNNNNNNNNNNNNNNNNNNNNNNNNNNNNNNNNNNNNNNNNNNNNNNNNNNNNNNNNNNNNNNNNNNNNNNNNNNNNNNNNNNNNNNNNNNNNNNNNNNNNNNNNNNNNNNNNNNNNNNNNNNNNNNNNNNNNNNNNNNNNNNNNNNNNNNNNNNNNNNNNNNNNNNNNNNNNNNNNNNNNNNNNNNNNNNNNNNNNNNNNNNNNNNNNNNNNNNNNNNNNNNNNNNNNNNNNNNNNNNNNNNNNNNNNNNNNNNNNNNNNNNNNNNNNNNNNNNNNNNNNNNNNNNNNNNNNNNNNNNNNNNNNNNNNNNNNNNNNNNNNNNNNNNNNNNNNNNNNNNNNNNNNNNNNNNNNNNNNNNNNNNNNNNNNNNNNNNNNNNNNNNNNNNNNNNNNNNNNNNNNNNNNNNNNNNNNNNNNNNNNNNNNNNNNNNNNNNNNNNNNNNNNNNNNNNNNNNNNNNNNNNNNNNNNNNNNNNNNNNNNNNNNNNNNNNNNNNNNNNNNNNNNNNNNNNNNNNNNNNNNNNNNNNNNNNNNNNNNNNNNNNNNNNNNNNNNNNNNNNNNNNNNNNNNNNNNNNNNNNNNNNNNNNNNNNNNNNNNNNNNNNNNNNNNNNNNNNNNNNNNNNNNNNNNNNNNNNNNNNNNNNNNNNNNNNNNNNNNNNNNNNNNNNNNNNNNNNNNNNNNNNNNNNNNNNNNNNNNNNNNNNNNNNNNNNNNNNNNNNNNNNNNNNNNNNNNNNNNNNNNNNNNNNNNNNNNNNNNNNNNNNNNNNNNNNNNNNNNNNNNNNNNNNNNNNNNNNNNNNNNNNNNNNNNNNNNNNNNNNNNNNNNNNNNNNNNNNNNNNNNNNNNNNNNNNNNNNNNNNNNNNNNNNNNNNNNNNNNNNNNNNNNNNNNNNNNNNNNNNNNNNNNNNNNNNNNNNNNNNNNNNNNNNNNNNNNNNNNNNNNNNNNNNNNNNNNNNNNNNNNNNNNNNNNNNNNNNNNNNNNNNNNNNNNNNNNNNNNNNACACCAACAUUGAAAGGACAUGAUCCAUCUCUGGUGACCAAAGUGGAACGUCCUCCGUUGCCUGCAGUAGCAGGCACAAUGAAGUAUUCCUCAUCGAUCUCAACGGGUUCGCCGCCGGUAUCGAUGAUGAACUGGGCUAUUGAUGUUGUGGCCAUCAAAAGCCAUAUAUGAGCAAGAGUGAAUAUGGUGAGGGAUCUAGUUGACAUGAUUAUUAAUUAAUUAAUUAGUUACUUUAUUACCUUAAUUGCUCACUUAAUU